CAUGAUCGUAUUGCCGACAUUCGUUCGCAUCCCAGCUGACGGUGUGGUGCGGUUGCUGCUGACCAAAGCCAUGCGCGUCGUACGCAGCCGCGUCAUGACCUCGCCGCGAUGGGGCAUCCUGCUGAAAUUGCUGGAAAGCAUCCAGGCCAAGGAGACUGUCGCGGGUCGGGAGUACUUCACCCGCGUGUGGACGUUGGCGGAGCGCAUGGCGCGGUUUGGGCGGCCUGAGAGGUUGUGUCACUGGCUGUCGCUUGAGAGCUGGCUGGGCAUGGUGGUAGAUGCGAUGUUGCGGAGCACUGAGGACCGCAGUGCGAGUGAGAUGUACAAAAGGAUGUUGGGCGCCGAGGCGGGCCGGCGGCUGGAUGCGUUGCUAGACCCGCUGGAGGCCACUGUCAAGACUGGCAGCAUGCACGUCUCAGAGGGGCUGGAGGAGCAACUGGCAGAUCUGUUCGAUUUGACGGUGGGAAUCUGGCACACUAACAAGGUAGGAGGGCAUUAGGGGAUGAGAAUGGGGGUUUGGGGGAAGGGGGGUUUGGGAAGGGAACAGGGUUCAUGGUCAGGGAUGUGUGUCUGUGUGUUACAGCUUGAGUUGCGUCACCCUUCAAAGGUGCCCUGUAACGAGAGCCGUAAGCUGUCCUUUCUAAGUUUUGAGCCGGACAGGGAAUGAAUGGAGGCGCGAGGAAUGGGGUUGCACCUAAGGGGGGGGCCUGGGCUGGGGCCAGGGGGAGGAGGAGGGGAGUUCCUGAUUCCACUCUUUCCAUCGCCUGCUGUGUCGUACUCUCUCUUUCACCCUCCCUUCCCUUCCCCUUCCCCUCCUGCCUGUCUACUAAGCACUUGUAUGAGUACGAGUACGGGCGCACACAUAUGCAAAUCCUUCCUCCUUUGACAUCAGAUGCCGUACACGAAAUACCCCAUCCCACCCAUCCCCUCCCAGGAGCUGGCGGAGGCGCCCACUAAGGACUGGCUGGUGUCGUACCUUCUUGACGCACACACGGGCAUCUACCAGGCUUGGUCGGAGGCGGAUCGAGUGUGGUCGGUUUACAGUUAUUUCUGUUGGAAGCAGCUGGACCAGCGCAGCGAGGCGGGGCUGCUGGAGGCUGUUCAGGACCUGGUUCGUGUGGCGGGGGGCAGCAGGCGCCUGUUGAUGGCUAUGGCCACCAAAUUGGGCCUGGCGUCGAAACUGCCGCCAGCUGAGGCGGACAAGAAGCUGGUGGCGGGGGCUAAAGCAGGCAAAUGGGCUGAGGUGGCGGCCGCGCUCAAGAAGGGCGCUUUCCCAGAUUACCCCGGGACGGUGAGUGCAGGGGGGAGUGAGAUGCGGAUUGAGGGUGAGGUGGAGGCGGAGGUGUGAGGAUGUGGUUUCUGCUUGUUACUGCUCAUCAUGCGGGUGACCAUCGCGAUGACCACGAUGGUAUAUCCUUUAUUUAUUCUCCUGUGUUGGGUGGCUGCUGCUGCUGCUGCUGCUGCUGCUGCUGCUGCUGCGGCUGCUGCUGCCGCUGCCCUAUUCUCGUAUGGGGUUGCAAGCAAGACUUAUGAAUCAAGCUCUUAGGAAGCUAACAGCUUCUAUAUCUAGAACAAAUUGCGUUGUGAUUUUUAUUAAUCAAAUCAGAAUGAAAGGUAUAUUUGGUUGUGUGUGUCGUCAUAUUUCAGGGCGGCAGUACCGCACUCUACAUUGCGGCAGAGAAGGGCAACCUGGACGCCGUCAAGAUGCUCAUCAAGUGUGGCGCGACUGUUGACAAACCCAACUUGGUCAGCCUAAGAAGGAGGGGAAGGGAGAGGAUGGCUCAGGGUUUAGAUAGAGAUGUGUGGGGGGGGGGAGGUGAAACUGCCUGCCCUGGAGGGAAUAUGCCGGGGGAUGAAAGGGAGGGGGAGCGUGCUGAGCUGACACACGUGUCGGUGCGUGCCGGCUCGCCUCAAUUGGUACUGUUAUCAUAACCUCGCAUACCUCCCACCAAUACAUACAUACGCACGUACACGCAUACCUUGUGCUGUUCCGCUGGAAUGUCGUUUGCGUUGUCAGCUUGGGCCUUAUCUGUCCGUAAACUGGCCUUCCCUGCAUGUGUUUGCCAGUGUGUCAUCAUGUCGACAUGCCUAUCUGGUUUCGUCCGCGGUGGUUGUGGUGGUUAUGGUGGUUGUGGUUGGUUGUGCAGGUUGGCGCCACGGCUCUCCACGCGGCCAGUGCCAAAGGCCACGCGGACGUCAUCGCCGCCCUGGUGGCGGCGUCGGCCCAGCUGGAAAUCACCAAACAGGUAGAGGAGUGGGGUAGGGUAGGGUGCGAUUUGGGUUUUCAUAUGUACGGCGUAAGAUGGCGUGCGGAAAAUAAUGGGGGGUUUGCCCGGCGGGGGAGGUGGGGAUGGGGUUGAGGCUGCUUACACGUAUAGUCACUGCCGUACACUGCUGCAUUAGUCUUCUCACCUAGCUUCAUUGUCAUACUGUUCACUUUUCUCCGCCCCUCCCCCCCNNNNNNNNNNNNNNNNNNNNNNNNNNNNNNNNNNNNNNNNNNNNNNNNNNNACCCCACUUCACCGCGCAGAUGUCUUCGGUCAUGCUGAUGCCGUACAGGCGCUCAUUGACUGUGGAGCCAACGAGACAGCUUUACGGCUAUGGAGAUCAUAUGGGUGGGAUGGUGAAGUCCCGCCUCGAUAUCGACCCUAACACCACAAGCCAAAAGACCUAUAUCAAUGAGUUCAGGAGAUUGGCCAAAAGGCUCGAAGAUAUGUGAAAUCAGCCGAUGGUGCCGGUGUCUGACUGGAGUGGCCCGAACACCAUGGUGAAGAAAAGUGUUGGUGUGAACACCAAAGGGACUGUGCCCCGGGCGUCCUCUGCGUGGCCUUCAUUUGCAUUAAGUCAAAGUAUUGCAAAAGGAACUCGAACCAUGAUCGGGUGCAAGUAAUAUGCGUAUCUCUUCCCCGAAAAUUUUGGAGGAAGCGGAACGCGUUUCUGCGUACUCACCUCGGUACACGGCGUUUUGCCCGUGGGCUGUAGUGCCGGCCGCACAGAGUCGGAGUCCGUAGCGCUACCGCCAGGGCCGCUUUCCACCGCACCGGUGUCCCAAAGCUUCCGGACCUCCUCUAAGGUGAUUUCCGGAUCCAUAGUCAAGGAAUCCAGGGCCGCCUGAAAAGCGGUGACCUGGAGACUCUCCUUGGACAAAAUGCCAGCCAAGGAAGACGCAGCCACUUGCUUAAUAAUCCUGCAAAUGGCCACAGACCGUGGAUUGGGAGGUGGUGGGCUGGUGGGCGUGGACAACUUGGAGAUUAACUCCUGAAGCUGCAGCUCCACGCACUGUGUCGAAUUUCGUAACGAUAGGAUGUCGUCACGAAUUUCGUCCCUUCCAGGGAACGCUCCAAGGCGCUGACGCGGUUAGGUACUGAUUCCCGCAAAGUCUCCACCAAAUGCGCUGGUAAGGUGCCAGGCGCUUUGGUUUUGGGGACUGCUGCGGUAACGUCAACCGCGUCAUUGUUCGUAGCGUCGAGGACAGUCGCGAUGUUAUCCGUUGGCGCCAUCGUGUCCUGAAGGUCAUUAUCAACAGGGACAGAGUAAAGGUAUUUACGAAGCGAAGCGAAGGAUUGUUUCCUUAAUUUGCGCUUGUUAACUUUCGCAACGCGAAGUGGGUCCGAAGCGGUUGUAGCAUCGGCAGGGAUUUGCGCCUUAGCCUUAGACUUCGGUCGCGGAAUAGGAACGUGCUUAGCAUCGCUCAAAGAAACAGCCUUAGUCUUAGCUAUAGGCUUAGGAACCAUUUCCAGAAAGUCGAGUCUAAGACUCAGACAAUNNNNNNNNNNNNNNNNNNNNNNNNNNNNNNNNNNNNNNNNNNNNNNNNNNNNNNNNNNNCCCCUCCCCCACGGGCGGUCGCACCCCUCUGCAUGUGGCUGCCGAGGCGGGCAGUGAAUCGGCGGUGAGGGCGCUGCUGCGAGCUGGGGCCGACAAAGAUGCCGAGGAUGAUGUGAGUGAGGGCUGCGGGGGAUGAGAGAGAAGGGGGGACCCGAGUGGAAGGAGUGUGUGUGUAUUGGGCACGGGCGAAGGUGCAGAUGGGUGAUGGGGUGGUGGGGUUUCUAAGUUUUGGUUGCAGAGGUUGGGUUGGGUGGAUCAGAUGUCGGUGGGCGGGCUUUUUGCCCACUUCGCCCCUUGGGGGCUUGGUAUCCAAUUUUAUAGGGGGAAACGGGGGGAGAAGGGGGGAGCGGGAGGAAGGGGGUUGGGAAAAGGGGAGAGAGAGGGGGGGAGGGGGCAAAGAGGACCGGGGGCAAGAGGGUAACUGGGAGAGUCAGCAGAGACCGCACACCUGCCCUAGGGAAGGAGCUGCCUGGACACGGCCAUCCGAAUCUACAUGCCAGUCUGGACUGCUCGUGCUGAUUCUUACCUCGACUCCCAACUAACAUUUCCAUCACCAACUUAUCCACAAGAUGCAGCUACUAAGUAUCUGUAUGUUUGUAUGUAUGCACCUAUGUAUGUAUGUCCACCUGACUUGUUGUUUAGGAGAGUAAGACGCCUCUGUACCUGGCCGUGCAAUACAACCGCACCGCCAACGUGGUGCGAGUACUGCUGGAGGCGGGGGUCGACAACGAGUGCAGGGACAUGGUACGACUGCUCGUACGAUGAACGGCGGGGAGGCCAGCUGGGGGCUAGGGGGAUGGAAAGGUCAAGGGGAGGGUGUGUGUGUGUGCAUGUGUCGUGGUGGCGCUGCAUGGAAAAUGGAUUAUGGCUAAAAUCAAUUUUCUUAGUAUCUUCAUUAAACUCAUAAAAUUAAAAAUCAGUAAUCCAGCAGAAUUUAAAACGUUCGUAAUCUAUCAGUUCAAGAUCAACUCAGGGGCGGUGGUGGUGGCGCUGCCAUUGUUGUUGUAGGCGGUGGUGGGGACGGUGUAGUUGGCACUGUUGUAGAUUGUCGUCGUCGUUGUUGUUGGCUGUUGUUGUUGUUGUGGGGGUGGGUUGACGUCAUUGCAGCAAGUUGCUAGCCCAGCCAGCCAAUCCAGGGAGGGCGUCCGCAAGGCCCCCUCCCCGGCGGCGCACUGACUCCACAUCCCCCUGUACUCCACAUCCCCCUGUAUGACCCCAUACUGGCGGGAGCUAUGUGUCGUUGUGUUCCCGAAGCGAUAUCACUCUCCAUGCAGGUUGUGAGGAGAUGCUGCAGACUGUGCUGUACACUGCUGUACCACACUGUACUGUACUGUAAUUGCACAGGUUGUUGCACUGUACGGUUCGUAUUCUGGCAGUCGUCACACAGCUAAACCCCCUCUCGUACCGGGCGCCCCCUCGGCCCCCAGAACGGCUGGACCUGCCUCCACGUCGCGGCAAGCAGGGGCAAGGAGGACAUCAUUCGCCAGCUGAUACAUGCGGGGCUGGAUGUAAAUGUGGUGAUGCGAGGCCAAGUGCGUGAUGACCGUGGAGGGAGGGGCGGGGAGGGACUCAUGGUUCUGGGCGAGGAAGGGGCAGCGAGGGGAAGGGGGAAAAGGGACUUGUUAGCAGUGGAAGUCAUUUCACUCCUGCCCCCCUCCCCCCUUUCCCCGGACACCAGGUCAUGGGGAAUCCACUGGGGUGGGGUAACCCAUAAUAUGCAGUACGGCACUACUGCCCUAGUGAGCACACUGUGGAGGGAAUGGGAGAGGUUGGGGACGUCCGGGAGAGGGGAGAGAGAGAGGAACAUGGUGAAGGGGAGGCAUGGGUUGCCGCACCGCAUGGUGUUUUGUGACCCAGCCCAAUGGAUGUCGUGCUCUGGCAGCUGGCACCCUUCCCUCGCCCACCUAAUCUUUCCCCCCUUUUACCCGGCGGCCCACAGGAGAACGAGAACUUAACACCCCUGCACAUCGCGGCGGAUUGGGGGCAUGUGGCAACCAUACGGUUGCUGGCCAAGGCGGGAGCCGACGUUAAUGUGCCAGGAUCGGUGAGUCCGCCACCGGGGUUUGGGGUUGGAGCAGAGAGGAGGCAAAAGAGGGGUAUUAAGGGGCUGCCUGGUCCAGCCCCACACCGUGUCGACGGUUGCAGAUUCUAUCAAAAGUCCUGCGGGGCUGGCAUCACUUUCCCGUUAGACGCCUAGUGGUGCAACUGUAUGUCAGUCUGUCAGACCCCCAGUGGGGCGGUGGGUUGGGCCCUUAGCAUCGGCAGCCCGCAGGUCUGCAGCCCUUGGCCCCAACCGGCAGUGCAAAGAUGGAUAGCAGCGGGGCUGUGAAGAGACCCUCCACGGAGAGAUGGGCGUUGAAGGGGCGGGCCUCGGGACCUCAGGGGGAUAUCUGUCUCUUCCUUUCUCUCUCUCGCGCACAUUUGCGUGGGCCUUGCAGGUAGAGGGACAUACAUACAUGGAGUACGGAUAACCGUCCGGAUACACCCCUGCAUCCGCCAUGAGAGGGGAAAGCGGGUCCUAGGGGGAGUUGGGGUGUGUGGAGGGGACCUUCCUCCACCGCUGACUCGUUCUGGAGCCCAUCCUCUGCUGCACCUGCCCGCCUGACCUUCCUUGCUUCGGCUGGACUCCCCUUCCCCCUUCCCCCUCUCUCCGCUCCCCCCCCCCCAGAACGGUACCCCACUUCACCGCGCAGAUGUCUUCGGUCAUGCUGAUGCCGUACAGGCGCUCAUUGACUGUGGAGCCAACGAGACAGCUUUACGGCUAUGGAGAUCAUAUGGGUGGGAUGGUGAAGUCCCGCCUCGAUAUCGACCCUAACACCACAAGCCAAAAGACCUAUAUCAAUGAGUUCAGGAGAUUGGCCAAAAGGCUCGAAGAUAUGUGAAAUCAGCCGAUGGUGCCGGUGUCUGACUGGAGUGGCCCGAACACCAUGGUGAAGAAAAGUGUUGGUGUGAACACCAAAGGGACUGUGCCCCGGGCGUCCUCUGCGUGGCCUUCAUUUGCAUUAAGUCAAAGUAUUGCAAAAGGAACUCGAACCAUGAUCGGGUGCAAGUAAUAUGCGUAUCUCUUCCCCGAAAAUUUUGGAGGAAGCGGAACGCGUUUCUGCGUACUCACCUCGGUACACGGCGUUUUGCCCGUGGGCUGUAGUGCCGGCCGCACAGAGUCGGAGUCCGUAGCGCUACCGCCAGGGCCGCUUUCCACCGCACCGGUGUCCCAAAGCUUCCGGACCUCCUCUAAGGUGAUUUCCGGAUCCAUAGUCAAGGAAUCCAGGGCCGCCUGAAAAGCGGUGACCUGGAGACUCUCCUUGGACAAAAUGCCAGCCAAGGAAGACGCAGCCACUUGCUUAAUAAUCCUGCAAAUGGCCACAGACCGUGGAUUGGGAGGUGGUGGGCUGGUGGGCGUGGACAACUUGGAGAUUAACUCCUGAAGCUGCAGCUCCACGCACUGUGUCGAAUUUCGUAACGAUAGGAUGUCGUCACGAAUUUCGUCCCUUCCAGGGAACGCUCCAAGGCGCUGACGCGGUUAGGUACUGAUUCCCGCAAAGUCUCCACCAAAUGCGCUGGUAAGGUGCCAGGCGCUUUGGUUUUGGGGACUGCUGCGGUAACGUCAACCGCGUCAUUGUUCGUAGCGUCGAGGACAGUCGCGAUGUUAUCCGUUGGCGCCAUCGUGUCCUGAAGGUCAUUAUCAACAGGGACAGAGUAAAGGUAUUUACGAAGCGAAGCGAAGGAUUGUUUCCUUAAUUUGCGCUUGUUAACUUUCGCAACGCGAAGUGGGUCCGAAGCGGUUGUAGCAUCGGCAGGGAUUUGCGCCUUAGCCUUAGACUUCGGUCGCGGAAUAGGAACGUGCUUAGCAUCGCUCAAAGAAACAGCCUUAGUCUUAGCUAUAGGCUUAGGAACCAUUUCCAGAAAGUCGAGUCUAAGACUCAGACAAUGGGAGAGUAACUGCUGCGGCGCAAUGUGAGGCGAGGACCGAACAAAUGAUCGUCGAUACCAAAAUGUAACAGCCGUCUCUUACCUUAGCUGUUUUAUUAGCGGAAGAGGGGGGUCUCGUCCACGAUUGACGACCCAGCGUUAGGCGCGAAAAGAGACAAGGGAAGUCGGGAUUCGAGGACAUACGUUGAUAACGGUGACAGCAAGGUCUUGAUCCCUGAACACUAGUAUAAUGAUACAGAAGUGUCUGGCCGAAGCACUUCACCUGGGUGGCUUAAAUGCGGCCCACCUGCCGCCAUCUCCAUUCCUGGAGUCUUGGUGUUUUACGCUAGGUUGUGAUAGCGUAACAGAAAGUGAGUUCGUACAGUUAACGAGUAUGGUUCGUAACUACGGGACCGUACCGUUACUGUGAUUAAGCUUUAAUAGCUUAAAGAUAUUCUAAGGUAAAUGUAGGUUGCUACAUGGUGUAAGUGGCUGCUGUGGAAGCGGUGGAGGUGGAAGCGGUGGCGACGGUAGCAGUGGUGGCAGAAAAAGUGGUGGUGGAACAAGUGGCAGCGAUAUCGGCAGCGGCAAUGGGGCCUUAGGAGGCGAGCUACCGCAGCUGCAGCCGCAUCUGCAUGCUAUGUUCAGCCCUAACAGCAGCAGUGGUGGGGGAUGGGAAGCGGUGGAGCAGGUGGAAGAGGCGGCAUUGGUGGGACUUUAGGGGGUGAGCAGGUGCAAGUGCCAUGCAUGCUAGUGCAUGCAACGGUGGUGAUGGGGCCUCAGGAGCCCAGACGGUCCAGUUGUCGCUCAAAUACCCGAGGGGGAAGCAGCGGCAGAGGAUAAUUGGGCAAUGGCGGGAAACGGGACGCACCUGAUCAGGGACGAGGGAGGGUGAAUAAGGGUGGCAGGCUUGCAGCAAUCCUGUAGUCACUAAAAUGAACGGAAGACGCAGUGUUGGCUUCACUGCACUGUGGCAACGAGAUUGGUAUGACACAGGUUCCAACGUUGGGAAACUGACACCAUGUCAGUGGCGGCAGAAUGUUGAGCCCAUGGCGAAAAGUCGUUGCAUUGGGAUUCUAAUGUCAUGAAGGUCGUUGUGUCAAAUUUUCAGGGCGAUUGGAGGGGGUUGACUUUUAAGGUACCGGGCUUAGCAGCUGACCGCUGAAAAGGUCUCUCGAGUUGCUGGUGGUCGCGCUCUGUGCGUAUUUAUAGCGCCGUACUGUGUUCCGGCUGCUACAGCAUGGCAUUUGGGCCAGGUUCGAGUGCAGCCAAACGGGGAGGAUCGAAAAGUUGAGGUUGUCCGUUCCAAGCCAAAAUUUGUGUUUGUAACCUUUGUUGCUGAUCGAAAAGGCCUGUAUAACAUUUUCAGGACGCGGGCUGCUUGGCAGAAAUCCAUGUAGAGACAUGUCGCCAUGUCAGGUAUGCCAUGGCCAAGGUCGACCAUUGACACUCAACUCUGACACUAGUCAAGUUUGACAUUGUAAACGAAAUGACGCCCAUCACAGCUCACGGCAUCAGUUCAGGGUGCGGCUUACAAGUAUGUCAGCACCGGUAUGACUGCUGUACAUCCUGGAAGGUCCUCUCCAUGGAUGCCAGCUUCCCUGCUCGAGAGGAAAGAUGGGUAGGCCUGUACCAGAGUCCUCGUGGCCCUAAAUGUUAUUACACCUGGUAGGAAGCAAGCACUGUGACCCAAUGGCUGCCUCGUUGAACCCUGACCCAUUGCUGUUGUAACACCUGCAGCAUGCACCUGCCAGAUUUAUUGCUCAAUGCCCGGCCUCCAGCACAAUGGCUUUGCAUGUGUCCUGCCAGCAUUAGAGACCUUGAAAUGGUGAACGAUGCUUCCCGAGAUACCAAGAUACUGUAGGUUGCUAACAUGUACAUUUACAAAAACAUCCUAAGAGGACAACGAAUAAGACCAGUAGGCCCAUGUCGAUAGUCCAGGGCAACGGAGGGGGGUACCCUGGGGCCGUGUUACCCCUACCACUGUAUAGGACCUUACAAGGGGGUUACCCAUGGGCUACCGGGGGUUGAAGGUGGGUUAUCCAUGGUUUACCGACCUAAUCAGUGCAUGUAAGAGCCUGGCCCAGGACUUACGAUAUUUCCGAGUAAGGACUCCAUUUCUUCUUAUCAUUCCAUUGUCGAGGCGAAUAUCGUACACACAGUACAUACAACUAUCUAAGUCAUCUUUAGACUAUAGUCAUACUAAGCAGUACAUGGCUACGGCUAUGACUGUAUCGAUUCGUACACAUACUCGAUUCCGUACACAAUCUUGCACACGUCUGCCCGUUCACAGCCAGACCUGUAUCGUAACUCUUCACUGGAAGGUGCGACUCUCUUAUAUAUACUAUCGUACGGCACUUUAUCCCGAGCGCCUCUGACGGACUGCAAGCGACUAUAAAUCCCCAAGGGAAACCCCCGGUGUUUAUCAAGAUCUUCACAAGUGGUCUAGUCGCUAAAUCCGUCUAAGUAAUCAGGUACGCUCUCACAUUGGUGCGAAUUACUAUGUCAGCCGAAGGCCGACAGUCUUCGGACAAUCUAGAAAAUAAUGUGCCGGAUCAGCAGACAGUUACGCAUCAGGACGCUAACACAUCUGCUGGUGGGUCUGCUGCGGCGGACCUGAUGCCUGUGGAUGCCGCCGCUGAUCAGUUAGAAGUAAGCCUUCUUCGCCGACUUGCCGCUAUGUCUCCUCAAUCGGCACUAGCUUUGUUUCGGCGAGUUGGUACCUCUUUGGCAUCUUACAUUUCUGAAAGUAUUGGCGACCAACCUACGGGUGGCGCUCUCAAUCGUGACCAACCUACGGGUGAACAAUUAACUCCAAAUAUUAGUUUAUCAUUUCAACAGCUUACAGGCGUUGAGGAGACUCAGCCUACGGGCGGGCUUCGUCUUUAUUCAGAAUCAUCGGAACCGGCGGACCAAUCCUUGCCCGAAGCUGACGCGGGCGUAGCACUUCAGGUGUUAAAUGACUCCGCACCGGGCACUAGCAAUGGCCAAAGCGAACAACGGCAAGGCCUUCAUGGGAUCGCGUCUCGAUUACGUGAAUUAAUUCAAUCGUUACCUGGUCGCGUUACUUCCCCUCCAACGCUAUUGGUGUGAACACAAUCAUUACCUUCACCACCCUUGUUGUCGCAUCCGGAUAAUGUGACGUCGGAACAACAGGUAGCCUGCGAUGUUGCGCAGCAACCACAAACCGAUUCUUUUACGCACGCGCAGCCAACUGCGACCAUACCAAGCCGAUUAUUUAUGACUCCUAUACCAAACAAUGAUGCCAUAUUGCAGGCGUGACGCGGCUUGGGUCCGACCACGGACUUAAGACCAACAGGAAUGUAGCCGGUGACUGGUAUGGGCUUGCAACCAGCAAACGCAGCUCAUCAGGCGGUGCCCGGGUUUACUUUCGGGCAGCCGUUCAUGCAGCCACCGCAGCAACAACAGCAGCCACCUGAUUUUUAUCAGGCAUUUUCCUUUUCCGGAUUGCCCGGAGUCGACGCCAGCGCGUUGUUGUUGUUUUCGUGGUCGUAUCAACUCUCAAGGCCACCUCAUGGAAAAGGUUAACAAUAAUAUUAACCAUAUCGGUGCUAUGAUGCAUACCCAGAAUCAGGUUAUGCAUGGCCAGGGGCAAACCCUUUCACGCGUAGUCGACCAAGUAAAUCAAAUUCACCAGGUGGGUACUCCAGGGCCAACCUUACUAACGCAAAAUUCACCAGCUCCAUUUGCUCGUCACUUGCCAUGACCACCCUACCUAACGGGAGACCCUAAGCAAGAUAAUAAAUCUAUUUCGGAUAAACUAGUGUGGUAUAACUCCGUGGUAGACUUCAUGCAACUCACGGGCAUGAACCACAUUAGUAACUUCAAAUUUUGCCUGCAGUUGUCUUUGUCUACUGCAGAAGCCUUAGCUAAGCCCGGUUGCAUGUGAACGAAGAACCAGGAAAUUUUGCCGGACUCGGCCAUAUCUGGCGCAUCAAGGAAGAUUAACAAACACUUCUGCACAUAUUCCGAAACGGACAUGUCCGGUCUUUGUGUCACCUCCCCACGCUUCUAAGAGUUCAUGUGUGCGCGAGGGAUCACCGUACACCUUCUUGAAUUCCGUAACCAAACUCGACCCACCUAGGGAAAUACCCUUCUGGGAAUAGUAAUGCUGCAGGCUAUCGAACCAUUUGCUGGCGGGGCCUUGCAGGAAAAAAUUGAAGUUACUGAAGUCUACCACGGAGUUAUACCAUAGAUAGAGUGUCAUAAGAUAGUAGAUAUUCCUGCAUAAGAGAAUCGCACCUUCCAGCGAAGAGUUACUGUUGUAGAACUAAGUUUGUGGCGGUCAGCUCUCUGGACGAACUGGUUUCCGUAUCAUGCCGUGCAGAUUGCACGGGCAUCUCUGGGCUCCUUGCCCUAUAUUAGCUUCCGCUUAUCUGUCUAACUUGUAACACAACGACGUGCUAAGGUUGUAUGCAAUACGUGCUAAGCAACGGCAUAGUUACCAUUUACAACAGGUUAUGAGCCCCGACAGACGAUCGGGAUGGAGACGAAGGUAGAAUACCGGGAGGUAUUAAGCCUAAAGAAUAGGAAGACCUGGAUGAUAAGGUCUAGAGCCGCCAUUAUCAAGGCGAAGUUAGGCUCAGCUUUAGAAAACCCGCGAACCGCCGAAAAUUGCACGAUCAGGCGAUCAUGAGCAGGCGAGGGCCAUUCUGGUGGAACUUCUCCACAACGACGACCUAGACUUAUAUCAGAAGCACAGUGACCUAAGAGAGUUAUAUGAGGCGCUGGACAACCGCUACAAGGGGAUGGUAGCGAUACUGGUUCCGCAGCUACACAUUCAGCUAAUCGUCUGAAGAUGGACCCGCGUGAAGGAACAAGAGCUUACUGUCAACGAAUUAAAGACAUCGUUGAUGAGCUGGAGCAGUGCGAUGAGAAGAUUACGGAUUACAACGUCGUCAGCACUGCGAUUCAAGGCCUGCCUACCGUCUACGAUAUGUAUACGGCGUCUUGGUUUAGUUCACCUGACUCGAUGCCGAAGAAUCUUGUGGACGUUCGAGAUCGGCUAAUGACCAUCGAGCAGCAGAUCACACAGUCAAGCCGACCUACGCCAGGAGUGCCGGCACUUGCAGCCGAUUAUGGUGGCAGAUGUCGGCAACCAAGACGGGAAGUGGGCGGCAAUGUCGCUAUUAAUAGCGGCGAGUUCCGAGGCAGAUGCUUCAAAUGCGGCAACGUCGGGCACAAGGCAAGCGAGUGCACCGAUAAAGGAAAGCAGGAGAGAAAAUUCUGCGUCUAUUGCAAGAAGCCCGGCCACAAUGUUGACGAGUGCCGGAAGGCGGCUAGGGCACGGGCAGCCCGCCGCGAUGGCGACGACGACGACAACUUUGGACCACCGGUGAUACAACAUGCCUUUGUGGCAGUACCGGGAUCAGUCGACACGCCUAAGGAGAAGGACGCGCAGAUGAGGGCAAAUACGGGGGCGGCUGCUGAGCCGCUUACAGGCAAGCUUAAGCCUGAGGCCCUAUACGCGGAAGCCGAGGAGCCGCCAUUGGCGGAGGAGCGGCGAGCCCGGGAGAAGGAUGUCGAGUGGAUUCUAGACUCUGGAGCGUACUACAACAUCACUCCGGAUGCCAGUUCGUUAUACAACUACAAGGAGCUGGCGGAUCCAAUACCGAUCAAGGUGGGCGGUGAACACGUAAUGUACGCCGUGGGCUACGGAGAUGUGAUUCUAGAACUGGGCAAGGUUUGGGACACGAAAAGGAUGUACUACGAAAAACGAACGAUUAAGUUCAAGGGCGUAUUCUACGUUCCAGGCUUUGGAUACCGGUUACUAUCUCUUCGGCAGCUUACGGCGCGUGGAGCUACGUUUACUGGGCGCACUACCUACAUGACGGUGCAAAAUGAUCAGGAGGGAUGGUACUUUAGCACAGAUUGCAAAGAUUCAAUUUACAAAUUGAGUGCGUGCGAGUGGAGUCCACGCGUACCAGUAGCCCUAGCUACAACACCGUCUGAUCUUCACGCGAAGCUGUGGCAUGCACGUUCUGGCCACCUGAGCUACGGCAAUAUGGUGCGCUUGAAGAAUGAGAAAAUGGUGCGGGGGUUAAACGUGUCAGCUGAAAAGUUGCGAGAAGCCGGUAGUGCUUCGAUUUGCGAAGAGUGCGAAAUGGGGCGGCACCCACGUAAGCCGUUCCCAGAGUCUGAAUCACGCGCGAAGGAGUGCUUAGAUUUAGUCCACAUGGACCUGUGCGGUCCGCUGUCGGUGGAGUCCAUGGGCGGGAACUAUUACAUAGCGACCUUCCUGGACGACUACUCUGGACUUUCCCAAAUCGCUCUUCUGAAAAAUAAGGGUGAAGCGUCUAAGACUGUCCAGACGCAGCUCCAGCUGCUCGAGAGCAAGUGUGGAUGAAAAGUGAAGGCGGUGAGGACGGAUCGUGGUCGUGAGUUUCUAAAUGCCGAAUUGUCUGAUUAUUAUGGGCAGAAGGGCAUUCAGAACCAGACCACUGCCCCGUAUACCCCGCAGCAGAAUGGACGGGCAGAACGGUUGAAUCGGACGUUGUUGGAAAAGGUGCGGUCGAUGUUAUAUGAGAGCAAAUUGCCCAUGAAUAUGUGGUCAUACGCCGUGCUUACAGCGAACUACUUACGAAAUCGUUCACCGUACCGGGACUUGAAGGGCACCCCCUACGAGCGCUUUUAUGGAGAAGCGCCAGAUGUGUCGAAUCUGCGAGUGUUUGGCUGUGUGGCGUAUGUGCGCGUACCUGACUCCCAACAGUCAAAACUAGAGCCGCGGUCAGUAAAAGGAGUGUUCGGGGGCUACGAGCCUGACUCCAAGGCAUAUCGUGUUGUGUUGCCCGAGGGCGGCCAUAUUGUGAGCCGCGACGUCAAGUUUCAGGAGCAUGUAUUCGGUUUGAAGGAACAAGAGUCAGACCGGUACGUGCUGGUUAACCUAGGUGAAGAUGAGGUGGAGGAGUUACCCCCUUUGAUUAACGAAGAAGGAGAAGACGAGGUGGAGGAUUCUAGCGAUCUCGAGAGUGAAGGGGACCUGGUAGAGGAUUUAGAAGAAGGACUAGAAGAGGAGGUACAAGUCAACCAGGAAGUAAUUCCGGAUGGGGGAGUGCCUCCUGAAGUCAAUCCUCCCCAACCGGGCCUCGAGGAGCCAAGUGGUCAAGGACAACAGCUACGUUGCUCAGAACGGUCUAACAAGGGAAAACCGUAAGAACGGUUGAAUAUGGUGGCAGUUCCGGAGGAGCCAAGGACCUACGAGGAAGCUAAACGUUCUCCAGCCUGGCCGAUGUGGAAGCAGGCGAUGGACGAGGAAAUGGCUUCUAUGCAGUCGCAUGCUGUGUGGGAGUUGGACAUGCCGCCUAAGGGAGUACGUCCGUUACCGGUCAAGUGGGUUUAUACCUUGAAGCGAGACGAAAAGGGUGAUAUUGUUCGCUAUAAGGCGCGACUGGUCGCUAAGGGGUUCGUGCAGGUGGAAGGGAGGGAUUAUGAGGACGUGUUUGCCCCAGUAAGCAAGCAUACCACCCUGCGUGCCCUGCUGUCUGUUGUGGCAGUGCGUGACCUAGAGCUACACCAGUUGGACGUUAAGACGGCAUUCCUUAACGGCACGCUGGAUGAGGUAGUUUUUGUACAGCAACCCCCUGGCUACGAACAGGGAAGCCCCUUUUUGGCGUGCAAGCUAGGUAAGGCCCUAUACGGGCUUAAGCAGGCUCCGCGAGCGUGGUAUGCUCGCUUGAAAAAGGAGCUAGUUGAUAUGGGUUUCUUAAUUUCUCAAGCUGAUCCUGGUCUGUUUUUCAAGGAUGUCCAGGGAGAGCGUGUAUACGUGUUAGUUUAUGUGGACGACUUAUUACUUGCGGCCAAGGAUCUAGCAGUUAUUCAAAGAUUAAAAUCAAAAUUAAAUAAGUUGUUUGAUAUCCGAGAUUUAGGAGAGGCUCGGGUAUUUUUGGGCUUCGAGAUAGAGCGUGACCGUGCGCAGCAUAGCCUGAAAUUGCCACAGCGUCGUUUUGCUGUGGACUUAAUAAAGAAGUACGGCAUGGCUGACGCAAAUCCGCGGCUGGUGCCAAUGUCCAAGGGCACUUUUUUGCGUGCUGAGGGGGAGCCGUUGGACGUGGGGGAGUUUCGUUAUGGAGAGCUGGUAGGCAGCCUGUUGUACCUUAUGGUGGGCACGAGGCCUGAUUUAGCUUAUUCCGUCGGAGCUCUGUCCCGUUAUAUGUCCAAACCAACGGUACAGCAUUGGGAAGCUGCGAAGGGCGUGUUGCGAUAUGUCGCAGGUACAACCGCCAAGUGUAUUUUGUUUUCAGCGAAAUCCGCAGAGCCUCUGCAUGGCUACUGUGAUUCGGAUUACGCUAGUUGUGUCGACACGAGACGUUCUACCACCGGUUACGUGUUUCUAAAUGCGGGUGGUGCGUUAAGCUGGUCUAGCCGUCUUCAGCCAACGGUGGCUACGUCAACCGCCGAAGCUGAGUAUAUGUCGUGCGGUGCUGCUACGAAGGAGGCCCUGUGGUUUCGUGUUUUAAGUAGUGAUUUGAAGUUGGGCCUCACCAAGGUUAGCAUCUUGUGUGACAACCAAGCAGCAAUCAAGAUGGUCGGUAACCCGAUCGUUUCCGCUCGGUCAAAGCACAUAGAUGUGCUGCACCACUUUGUGCGUGAGCGUGCUGCACGAGGUAAAGUUGUAUUCAGCUACGUUAAGUCGGUAGAUAUGGUGGCCGACUGCCUGACGAAGGCGUUGCCUUUGCCUUCGUUUGAGAAGUGCGCACGUGCAAUGGGACUGCGCUAGAGUGGUGCUUGUUCUUCGUUUUACAGAUGGAGGUCUGCCCGCGGGGGAGUGUUGUGGAUUGGACGCUAUUCCGGUCAGACCUCUCUCCACUAUAAUCUUUGGAAUUAAUUGUCGUACUUACGGAACUGGACUUUGGUUCCUUUAAGUGGCGGCGGGAAGACACAAUCUUUAGUUGCUUGUAACAUAACGUGCAGAUCACGCUCCGAGCCGGUAAGGCACGGAGUAACUCGAGGAUUUACAACAUGAAUGCACAACAAGAAAACGAAGCUGCCUAUCACCAGACUUUUGGCCAUACUUGCCGUCUCCAAAACUUGAUUUCGGCAGCCGCCUGCCGAAAACAGCUCGAGGUGGCCACGUCGACAGCAGGAGCACCGUCGCAAGAACGACCGUGAAGGCCCUUCCCUUUACCAGGACCACGUUUCUGCCGCGCCAUCCGCCUGAGGUCGCCAUACUUCUUUUUACCUUUCAACUAUCUCCUCGGUUUUGUUCUAGCUCUUUGAAAAUCAGCGCAUUGUCUACACUUUUAAUCGCUGACAAGUGGACAAGCCUUAUACUCUGCAAUUUACUUAUAAACACUUUUUUGGUAUGCGCACAAUGCGCUUAAGUCCGAUGUUGUUGAAGCGCAUCGUCACGCACUUCCAGAUCAAGCGAUUACCCCUUCCUGCGUCAUUACUUGGGACUCACAUCGCUGGCUUCGCCGCCGCUGUGCGCUGUGGCAGCUCCUGCUGCUGGCACCCCCACUAUCAACUUUAGUUCCAUGCACAAAGCAGACCACCUCGGACGCGACCAGGGCCGCCCUUCACAGCAGCCAGCCUGACAGCUGGAGCGGAAGCGGGCGCUAUAGGGAGGAACAACACCCCCCCUCCUCCUCCGCCAGCAACACCACCCGCGACCCGUGGCUCAGUGUUGGGCCCUGUAGAUGCUGGCGGAGCGCGUAUGUAUCGCAUGGGUGAGCUGCAACGCAUGUUUCUGAAGCACCUCUCUGGGUUGGGGAGGAUACCGGAUAAUCGUGUGUUGUUUUGGGGGUUUUGUAAAUGGCCCCCACCCCUUCGAUGGGCCUCACUGUUUACCGAUCUUUGAACAGGGUUAUCCUGGCUAAAGGGACUGUAUUUCCACAAUGUUUUGUGUGAGGAGAUACAUUUUAAGGGGUCUCAAGUCCUUAAGGCUCACUUCCCAGAGCUGCACCCGGACCUGGAUGAAGAGAGGAAGGUCAAUUCAUUUCGUCGAACCCGACACAUGUUUUAGAUGAAUGAGCGAUUUGAUGAUGACUGGUAGAACCCACGUCUCCGUACUACACCAGGGAUUAUGUACCGGGCAACCAUAAAUCAGGGAUUAAGAUGCGGCCGGGAUGGGAGAGCCUGCGUUGUGAGGGCGGGAAGGGAAACCCCUUGAGGAUGGAUGGAUGUGGCGGGAAAGGCCGUGAUGCAUUGCCUGUGUUGGUGACUGGUUGUGUACCCAUCGUACGAAAUGGGGGCCCCGGUCCGCCCCAUGGGGGCUUCAGUGGAUCUAAUUCCCGCAUUGAUCGAGGUAUGUGGUUCUCGUUUGCUUAUGCCUUGAUGGUGUGACAGAACAUGUUGACAGGGGGAUAUGCCACACAAUCGCUUUGCAUAGGAUUUUCACAACGUGCAUGUCAGUACAACGUGGAUUUGGUUCUCUAGCAUUUGGAUGCGCGUCUUUUGAUCCCGUCACGCACAUGAACAUGUCCGAGGAAGAGCGGUGCAGCUGCGGCCGUAAGGAGUUCGUGAAGUUGCUAGUGCACUUUUGCCACUCGAUAAGGCCUCACCGCCUGCUUGUCUUUGACGGCAACGAACCUGACGGUUUGCACAGUUAUCACGUUUAAGAUGGCUUUGCAACUGGAGCUGGGCCGCACCACUCGGGAAUGAGCCUGCGCUGGAAUGCGCCAGUGGGUUUACACGCGUGAUCUAUCUGUCGGUGUAAGUCGCUCCAAUGCAUCCUACCCACCCAAGCGGCGUGUGUUGAGCGUGUGAGGCUUCUUUUGUGCACCGCAUUAGCAAAAAAAGGUGGCGUAACCGGCUUUCUGUCCCGUCCAUUGAUUCCCUUAUGCGGGUUAGUUUGCUUGGUCUCACCGUGGACAUCAUCUGCAAGCCCCUAAUGAUUAAGGCCGCUGAGGAGUACGUCGCAAAGGACCCUGAUGGGCUCCUACACCGUAUUGCCAAGUGAGGUGGCGAGUGAUGAGGUGUACGCGUCCGAGGAGACGGACGAGGAGGAGGUGGAGGAGGUGGCAGAGGUAUUCCGCGGGCGGGUAUUCCAUUAAUCAGUCAGCUGCCCGUCGAAGCCACUUGAUUAAUCAAUCUUUUAUGAGUCACUAAAAAAAUAACAAUAGCCCACCUAUAAUUACUUAGUCUUCGUUCAUCCCCGAAGGGGAACCCCUCGAUAAGUUCAUGUGCCUUUCAAUGGGGCUGAUUAUUUCGCAGGUUCGGGUGCGGGGCUCCGCUUCUUGUCCCAGUUCAGCGUCCAACUGCCCUCUUGGGCUUUGGGACAAAACCCUCGAUAGGCUACCCCGACCCUGCCCACAAGGCGGUCCAUCCCCCUGCCGUAACCCGCGCUUGAAUCGUUUUCAGACCCGGUUGCUCUCUGCAGUGGAAAAUUCGGUGUGUGGUCCUUUGAGAAGGGGUAGUGGGGUGGAGGCGGUGGGUGGAGACCGCGCUACACGCGCCUGUCGCUGAGGAGCACGACGGCCGACGACGCGAGGACCCUGAUACCGACCACGAAAACACCUACGCGACGAGAGAGAUGCGCCAGAUGACAAGUACGCCAUUGACUCUGCGAACGCCGACGUCGGUGACGAUUGGAUGGUAGAGGUAGAUGAGGUGCAGCCGGCGGAUGCGGGCAGUCUGAGGUGACGGCUGGGGCUCGGCGUUGAACGUGGGCGGCGGGGAUGCGGGGUGUUGAGGGAUGGCGGCGACUACGAUAAGUAGCAGAAAUGGGGACGGAAAGAUGCUUUGGCGGUAGCACCAUCGGCAUGUCCGGAUAUCCAACGCGCGUAUGAUUUUGUACCCAUAAAACCAGAGGUUGACGUUGGCCACAGCGGGCAUACGAGCUUUCGGAGCUAAGCGAAGGAGCGGCGGGAGGUGCGGAAACGGUGACGCGGAUGACCGCUUUCCGUGCAUGAGCUGAACUGCACGCUUCAUCGACUCAACCCAAGGGCUCAAGUAAGGUCGUUACCAGGCUGGCGGAAUUGGAGAUGAAGAGCCCACCAGGUGAUCUCGACACUGACACAGCCUGCCGCUGCUGAUGCUGAUGCUGGUGCUGUGUGAAAUAAUGAAGUCCAAGUGUUCCUGCCAACGGUACAUGGCUGGAGGUGCGGAGGUGCCAGGCAUGGAGUGGAGAGGGACCGCCGCGGCGGCAGUGGCUUCCAUCGCAGAGGUGAUCAGGUAUCGGCCCAGCCUGCCCAGCGAGGGUCCAGGGGGCUUUUCGGCUUUUUUUCCCGCCACUUCCCUAGGGCAUCGCUGGCUCCUUGAAAACGAAGUGACGGAAUGGCCUAGUACAGCCGUUCCGAGAGCUCGAAAUUUGCUUGCGUUGCAAGGAAGCUGUUUGCUGCUGCCGCUGUGCCCGAGAUCCGAGAACGCUCUGUGGAGUUUGACUCUGUGAAGGACCCUCAGCGCCAUGGGUGUGGACAGGAACCGGCGCUUUGUGUACGGGGCAACGCUGCGGCCCAGGCAGCCACCCAACAGAUUGCAAGAGCGCUGCAUGUGUACGGGGUCGCGAAUCAGUUACCGAUCCAUUUAGGCCAUUUAAAGGUCCCCGCCGCCGUUGGAAAACACUCUCCCUGGCGUGCCCGAAAUCGGUCCUCGUGCAUAUCCAAACAAUACGAAAAGCUCUUGUGAUGCAUGAGUUACAAUCCCGGUCUUAUGUUUAUAUAAUCUUUGUAAGGUUGCACGCCCAACUGGCAAGUUCUGGGGUGCAGGGUUGCUGGUCAGCUGAGGAGCGCGGCCUGCACAUUGCAUAGUUGGGUUUUGGGCCGGGCUGCACGCACUGGAGACAUGGCCGCCAUGCCUGGCGCGGGUCCAGAUCCGAUGCGAUGACGUGAAGGCGGAAGAUCGUGCGUUGGGCGGGGCUUGGGACGGGCCCUUUCCGGCUGCUUGCGGUUCUUGAGAAGUGUAAGUGGCACUGCCUCUGGCUCUGGGGCCCCGAGGCCGAUUUAGCCAAGUACGGUUUCGUCAGGAUUGACUACCGUCCACGCAAAACCCCCGCGGUGGUAGGUGAUGCAGCAGCAUGACGGUGUUGCAGCCCCGGCCGCGGGAUCUGCAUUGCGAGGGGUCCUUCGGGAUGGUCCGCCGCCGCUGUCUCGGGAUGGGUUCCUACCCGGGUUCCUACCCGAGUAGCUGGCACCAGGGGGGCACGUGUGUGUUGUGAGCAGCCGGGGUCAAGUCGGACGUUCAGAGGACGGAUCUUGGACGGAUCUGGUUGGCUGGGCGGCGGCUUUGGUGGGGGAUCGCGGUAUCGAGCUGCUGGUUCGGCAUCGACUCAUGAAUCCUCUCGCUCAGGGGCUUGCGUGGGUUUUGCGUUGGAGUGAUGGAGGAUGUGAGGUGGAGGAAGACGCCCUGCCGUGACAGGCGGGUGGAGACAAAAAUCCGGGGUCUGUACGUUUGCUCGUGGUGCAUUCGAUGGGCUGUUUGGCCCCAUCGACAAUAGCGGGCACUCUGAGCGCGUUCGCAGUCUAGCUGCGCUUUAAGAGGAUUGUCCCGGAGCCAUUCCUUGAGCCGCGGUCAGGCGGAUCUUGGGUCAGGCAUGAGCCACUCCCAUAAGAAGCCAGCAUAACCAGCUCAUAAAGUCACCUUGCCAAAGUUAUCCACCCACCAUCUAAUCUUCAAAAUCACCUACUUGGCUUCAGCGUUGUCAGGUGACGCCCAGGCCCUCUCUGUAUGUCCCAUUCCCCACACAACCCGAGGGCAGCACAUCCAGCCAACUGACACCAUGAGAGAGGGCACCACAUCAUCUGACAAGGAGAGCGCCAAGCUGGUGCCACAGAAAAGGGUCAGUUGAAUGGCAAAUCGUGUUAUGCAUCGCGGGGCACAGGGUGCGGGCUGAGCUUGCGUGAAAAAGGACAUGAUGCUGGACGGGCAAGACCUUGCCCCCUGGAAGAUUGCCACCCGUACUGACCCAAUUCCCCUGUGGCGCUUCAACACCCCGAACAUGCGGCCCAGAUGCCAGUUUGCCAUCCCCUCAAAUGUACAACGCAGCUCGGUAAUGUCUUCGUGGUACUCGAACCCACAGACGCCCCCUCUCCAGGGCGGACAGGGUAGACCCCGUGUUAUCACACCCGAACUCGAAUCAGGUGACUUUCGCACAAUGCUGGUAGACUAGCGGCUGCAGGGACCUUCGCACUGACAUCAGCAGCUUUCGGGCGAUACUACCCACACACAAGGACAACGCCCUGCCCACAGACUCCCCUUUCACGCCCUGGCCACAUGGGCCUUUGCAUCACGUCCAUCACGCACCAAGGGCUCUCCCUUCUUACAACAAAAAAACCUUCUAACAAAAUGCACCAAGGGCUCAAAGUGUCGUCAAAGUGUUUCCCUGUCAGUUGUUUGGGAGCAUAAUUGACAUCUACUAAUACGGUGUACCCUCGAAUCAGAAGUGUCACAAUAUUCUCCCCAGACAACUGACAUGGAAACACUGUCGCCCUCGCGAGGGUCGCCUUUUGAGUCGCACUUAACGGUAUCGGGCGCACACACAGGUAGGGCCGCGCAAAGAGUGAGCGAAUGGAUGUAGGAUAGCUGAAAGCACACAUGGAAUGGAAAGCCUGCAGCAACAAGCCUCUUUCUUAUGACGUGCUGCGCUUCUUUCGCAUGCUUCGCCACCUUCGUCAUCAGCCGUUGUGUCAGCCACGAUGUGCCAAUCACCAAUUUCCUUUAGCAUCGAGAGAAUAUUUGUACAACAGCUGUUUCCUGAACCGCAUGGCUUGGCUGACAGCCGUCGGCGCAACGUGGAUUUGCAUGCGCGCCGAUUUCGCCAAGGUCAAAACUGCCGUACGAGCAGGCAGCGCGCGGGACCCGGAUAACUACAUAAGCCCGACCGGCUGCCAAAGCUUUUCAGCCCUUGGCCCGCCUGUGCAGCGAGAAGGUUACAUUAUUCCUUAAGACCCUACGUCUCCUGCGCCUCCGCGCGCCUCGUGAUUAUUCUCAACACCGCGAGCUCUUAUCAGGUUAGCUAAUUAUUCGGCGGCCAAGCUGGCCCCGCUUCUCCUUACGCGUGAUCUCUGUUUUUCCUGCUAGCCGUCUUGAAACGUUUAUACAUCGUCUUCAGUCGCCGCUGUCUCCUGCGAGGAUUUAAUUGACGACAAACCACCUUCGCCUUAACCAACAUCAUGUACGCUCCUACCGCCUACUACUGCUCCGCAGCCCCUGCAGCACGAGUCUGCGCUUCCGCCGCCGCGCGUCUCGCACCAGUCAUAUUAAGUCUGUCCUGUUUUCGGCCCGCCACUGUCGCACCAAGAGCGCAUCGCGCCUACACCCUCGACCGAAAAGCAAGCACCAGGACCGGAAGCUCUUCCCUCUCGCAGUCAUCGCUGUUCUCUGAGUUUGCGACAUUCGAGGCUAACGCUGAGAACGCUUACAACUUUUGCAAUAGUAACGACAACAGUUGUCACAGCAGCAUGGCCGCUGCCGCUCCGACCCGUGCUUUCGGCCACGAGCAGCCCCAGCAGCCGUUUGUGGUGACUCGCAAUGCGGUGGUCAUGGUUCCGCCCAGCCCGACCAAGCGCCCCCGCAGCGAGUCCUUUUGCAACCUGGACCGCCCACCGAUUUGCAUGCCGACCAAUAAUAACUCCAGCAGCGCCGCCGUGAACGGUGGUGCACCCAAAAGCCAGAACGCCAAGGACUCGUCUGCGAGCCACCUGGACAAGGCAUUGCGCAGCGUAGUGAAGAUCUUUUGCACCAGUGCCAAGUAAGUGUUUCCUCAUUUGGGUUUACUCCCCUAUCGUUGACAGGUGGUAUGGCGCGCGUGCUGCCCCGAUGCGCGUGCUACCUGUUACUCGUUUUCCGGUGCCCAUAAAACGCUAAAAUUUGAUGUGGGUCACAAGGCAUGUGAGUUUUUGGUGACCCAGUAAGGCAUCGCACUCCUCCCACCAGCUGACCAGCCCUGCACAUCCCCUCUCCCCCCUCCCGCCUCCCCUUCUCCCCGCAGCCCCAACUACAGCCUCCCUUGGCAGAUGAUGACUCAGACCAAGUCCACGGCUUCCGGCUUCGUGGUGGCACCUCUGUCCUCGCGCCGCAUCCUCACCAACGCCCACGCGGUUGCCAACCAGGUGCAGGUCAUGCUGCGCAAACACGGUAACGCGCGCAAAUACCCGGCGAGGGUGCUGGCGGUGGGACACGAGUGCGACAUCGCCAUGCUGACGGUGGACGAUGACGAGGUGCGUACAUGCGGGGUGGUCUUUGGCUACGUCAAAACGCAGCACAGCACAACGACCCGUGGGUCACUUGUGCGUCAAUGGCCGGAUGAACAUGGAAUGGACAGGGCGAUUACAUGCUCGUCGAGGGUCUUCUUCCGAUGGAGUUCAGUUCAGUUCGUAUCCCCUAAUCAUGUCGUACACCGUAUUCCCUAAUUAUGUCGGACACGCACAGCCAUGUCCCCCUUUGCCUUGUGUCGUUCCCUCGUUUUCAGUUCUGGGAGGGCAACGGCGGCGUGGAGGCUCUCCAAGUGGGCGGCCUUCCGCCCAUGCAGGAGAGCGUGACGGUGGUGGGCUUCCCGCAAGGAGGUGACAACGUGUGCGUCACCAAAGGGGUGGCGUCCCGCCUAGACCGUCAACAGUACUCGCACGGCAGAUGCGCUCUGCUGACCGUCCAGACGGACGCGCCCAUCAACAGCGGCAACAGCGGCGGCCCGGUGCUUCAGGGCGACCAGGUGGUGGGUUUGGCCUUCCAGUCGCUGGUGGGCGCGGAGAACACCGGCUACGUCAUCCCCACCCCCGUGGUGCACCACUUCCUCAACGACCUGGACAGACAUGGAGGAAAAUACACAGGUGAGCGAGUUGGGGGGUGGGGGGUGGGGGGAGGGUGUUGGGGGGCUUAGGGGGGGCCGGCGGGUGGCGGGGGAAAGGAGGGAGUUGCCUGCUACGGUACUGCCAUGCUUGGCUGACGGUAGACACUAGCAGCACCAGCAAUAGAAGAACCAACAGCGCAGCAAACCUGCUUUAGGCCUGGAAGUUUGACUUGAUGAUGUGCGAUGUGCUGCGACCUAAUCUUCAGGUGUGUUUAUGGCUGCUGCCGCUGCCCUGCUGUCUCCCCAUGGCUUGUUAUCUCUCGUCGCCCUCCCUCGCUGUGCUCGUAUCCAGGAUUCCCCGAAAUGGGUAUCAGCUGGCAGUGCCUGGAGUCAGCUGACAUGAAGCGCUCGCUGGGUAUGCCCGAAGGAGCCACCGGCGUCUACAUAACCGGAACAGAGCCCGUGUACGACUCGACCAAGGUACGAACGAUUCAUGCACCUACCGUACAUUCUGAAACCGAUAAAAUGUAGGAAGCCUGACUUAUUGCACGACUUAAAUUGCUCUUUCCGGUUAUCAACCUUCCUUUCCAGGUCCUUCGUUCGGGUGACGUGUUGACCAGUGUUGACGGGCACCAGAUCGCGGACGACGGCACCUUCCUGUUCCCCGACCAGUCGGUACGCAUCGACUUCCGCCACCUGCCCUCCAUGGCGUACGACGGAGACAGCCUCCGGGUGGGCAUCUGGAGGGACGGCGCCGCGCUGGAGCUGCCCCUCCUGGUCAACGUGCCCAGACACUUGGUGCCGACGCACUGCCACGACCUGAAGCCAAAGCAAGUUGUGGGGGAGAGGUGUCCUGGCCCUUAGCUGCUUGGCAGGGGACAUUUCUUUCCUUUUGUUCUUCGUUUGGGGCUUAUGUAAUGUAGUGCCCAUCAUUACCCGAUGGGCCUCCUAUCCUCCCGGCCUUUCCGUGCGGCAGGUACUACAUCUUCGCCGGCCUUGUGUUCACUCGGCUCACCAACUUCUACCUGCGGCAUCAGUACGGCACCGACUGGUCUACCAAGGCGCCCAUCAAGCUGUGUGACCGCUACCUGAGCGGCUCUAUGGAGGCCCUGGGGCAGGAGGUGGUGCUGCUAAGCAAGGUAGGCAAGGACGACAGGGCAGGGCGGGGAGGGGAGGGAACGGCGGUACGGAGAAGGAUGCUAUAGGUUUUGGCUGUGGAGAUCCCGUAGCUAGCAUGGACUUCGGCCUAAAUUUCAGGAACCCGUCAGCGAAGUGAAUGGGCUCCCCGCUGCCUGGCCACAUGUGACAUCGCCCUCCUCCCCCCCCUGCUGUUCAGGUGCUGUCGGCAAGCGUCAACCAGGGCUUUCAGGAGAUUCAGAACGUCCAGGUACGACAUCUUUGCAGUAGGCAGCCCCACAACGUUGUAUGCACACCAAAUGGAUUCUUGGUUGCCCGGCAUGUGCAUUGAUUGGCAUGGAUCAUGCUGUGCCCCUGCAAUCCAUUCCCCUUGGCCUUGCUCCCCCCGUGUCCCCUCUCCCCCCCCUUUGCGAUCCCCCAGGUGUACAAGGUGAACGGGGUCAAGGUGCACAACCUGGCCCACAUGGCCCGCCUGGUGGAGGAGUGCGACUCCGAAUACAUCCGAUUCGACCUGGAGUGGAAGAGGGUGAGCGCCGCGAAGGGGAAGAGGGCGGGAGAAUCACACCUUCGCUGCCCCGACAGCAUCGUGGUCUAAAGUCGUGGUUCCUUAAUGUUCACAGCCUUUCAUGCAGACCCCCCUACACACGCUCUUCCCGCUCUCUGCCUUCUAAAUUGUUCUACUGCCCCGGCAGGUGGUCGUGUUGCACACCGGCAGGGGUCGCAGCGCCACUCCCGACAUCCUGCGCACCAACUGCAUCCCCGCGGCUGCCAGCGAUGGGCUGCUGGAGGAGGAUCUGCAGCUGCCGCCGGACGUCAUGCAGCUCAGCCAGCCAAGCAUGGCGGACUCGGAGGUGGUGGAAGAGCAGGAGGCAGUGCCGGUGGGGGAGCGAAUGGCGAAGCUAUGAAUGUCGCACAAUUGAGGAGGAUGAAGGCGUGGGUCCAGGUUUACGUCUGCUGCAGGAGGGCGAUAUACAACGUGUGCUUAUUGCUUGCGGGAAGGCGAGGAAGAAGUAGGGGAUGCAGGCUGGCAGGCUGGCAGGCUGGUCAAUGCCGUUUUGUACCAUAUGAUUUCUUCUUGUAUGCGUUAAAUCUGACUGCAGUCUUGCCAACGGUUGCUUGUUAUCUGUCGUCUUGAUGGCCUUCGAAGGCAGAGGCUACAGGCUGUUUGCAGGAUGUUUGGACACCUUGCAUGCGGCACGUUGCAUAUGGCUUAUGCGGCCAUUAGAUUACAUAAUCGCCUGCGCAAUGGUGCUUGUUGAGCUGGGCGAAUUGAAGAGUGUAGUGAAGAGAGACGGAAAUAAGCGGCAUCAGCGCCCUCUGCACCUUGCAUGGUUGGAUGUGUUGCAUGGAUCAAUUUGGAUAUCCGGCCCCCAUGCCGUCGGUGGAGUAGGUAGUGCCACUACCUAAUAAAUGAUGUCGAAUUUGUAACGAAGCAUGCAUAAUCUUCCGAGGACACACUAUCCUUUUGUGUUCGCGAUAUCUAUGUUUAGGUCAACAUAUGUCAGCUGAACUGUGAAAAUGGGAAACAUGGGGCUUCGACGAUGGGAUGCUGCUUCUACGGGUGGAACGUUUUGCAAGACACUUGUAACACCAAGGACGUUGGUAGGGGUAUCAUACGGCGUACGCGACGGCAAUGCUCGCGUGUAUAUACGAAAUACAUUCGAAAUAAGCUCAAAAAACGGCAUCGUCAAACGUACUUAUUUUUUUGACCGGAGCUGAAAAUUUCCUUAUCUGCUGUUUAUAUCCUUCUGCAUAUCGCGGACAUACAGUUUACCUCCCCCAAUGGCCGAUUCAGCUGAAUGGAUUCAUGUCAAGGUGGUGAAAACUUGCGGCACUAACAAAGAAGUCACUUACAACAAGCGAAUAGAAAGGCUAGCCACCAUAGGCAUCAUUGACUCAGUGGACGGACUUGAAUUUUUGCAUUGCAUGGCUCUGCAUGGACCUGCAGCGGCCCUGUUGAUACCGUGACCCAUGGGUCGGAUUGCCUGUAGCGGCGAGAACGACCGUAUUUCCCAGCGAAUUCAUGGAUUUUGCGUAUUAUACGCGUAUAUGUAUUAUUAUACGUAUUUGGUACGAGUUACAUAUUGGACCACUAUGGUCGCACCCCUCAGCUAAAACUGUUGUGCGAUCUUUCUGUGUUCUUUCAUCCACGAAAGGGCAUACCUGUAGACCGAGGCUUGCACGUUUAUUUCUUGACGAGUGUAGUUAUGGAAACAGCCGGCGGUGAUUCCUCGGCCGUACGCACGUGCUCAACCCGUAAGCGCUGGCUUCUCAUUUGGACGAUGCAAGUGUAAGUAGUGAUUUUGUCGUACAAUCUCUGUCGUACUGUUAUGUGUUAUUUAUUUGUUCUGGUCACAACCUUGUUAUGGCUAUUCGCCGUGUUGAUACCUUGGUUAUGCUUUUUCUUCCACCCUCACCUCCCUAGUUGGGUGCGCUUGUUUUUGUUACAUCGGGCCUCACCGCCCGGUGGUUUGAGCCUAGGUGCCACUGCCGGCCACUGGUCCAAUAUAAAUGCGGGGGUUUUCGGGGCAGGGGAGUUAGGGUAGGGUCGAGCCGACCAGCGGGGAGACCAUAUGGGGAGGCACCAAGCCGAUCAGCACGGCGGUGCAGGGAAUUCGUUCAUAGUAGUGGUUGGGAGGUUUAACGGGUUUUGUCUGCGAACUGGACGGGGUUUGGCUACGUUCACUGCUGGUCGCAUCGCUGCUGGGGAGGUUUUAAUGUAAUUACGAUGUAACAACAGAGGACAAGAAGGUGCUAUAUACGUCACAAGUUACAAGUUUCGCACACACGUGCGGUGGUGUCCGUAAAAUCCGGGGUUGCCAUGGACGGUAGAUUGGGAUUGAUGUGGGUACGUGGGGGCCAUUAUCGUCCUCCCUCGUCCGCUUCAGCGCGAAGCGCCUUAGCGCAACGUGCCUGGCUUCCCAGAUUUCGAGAGGUACCUGGCCAAUGCCUGGGGCGGCGCCUCAGUCAUAAUGGUACGCAUGCUCCGCCCUUGAUACACGAGGUCACCGUCGUACUUAACCCGAGCGCUUGCGUAAGCAGGGCAUUCCUCGAACCUGCGUAAUGCGCUAUAGGGUCAUCACCACGCGUGCUAGUGGGUGUUCGCCCUCCUAAGCUGGUAAGGAAAGCUAGGAGCUUGCUCGUCCAGCACUCAGUAACGCACCCCUGUGCCAACUCCAGGCCGGCAACGAAGGCCCGAUGGCCUCUUAAUCAUGGCGUUCCAAAACUUCAGUACAAGGUUGGCCCAGUGGAACUGGAGUGGCCUUGCGACAGCACACGAUAGAGGGAACCAUAGCCGGGUUCCUUGCCCCUACUAUGGACUGCAUGUACGCGUGCUGCUCCUGGACCAAAGGGUUAGCCAUUGCACCUUUGGAGCUCGCACUAAUGAAUUCAGGUCUCCAAACUCGGGCCCCCAUACGAAAUCACCGCUACAACGACCGUGUUCAAGAGAGACAUACAUAGCUUAGGGGUGGUGUAGUAGCUUAGAGGUGUAGUAGGUGGUAAUUUCCUUACCAUGACGCAAGGCACUGAGUCCAAACGUGUCCCGCCUCCCUGCCGCGAGUAGCUGCCGCUGAGAACUGCGCACCAGGGCCGUAAUGCAGUCCGAGAUAGUGCAGUUUAAUUGCCGGUCAGCACCCGCAUGCCCACCCCACCUAGCCGGUACUCGGCCUCCAUGAGCCGCUUUCGCUCAUCUGCCGUGCCCCCUUUCGCGGCCAUCCCGUCGCCUUGCAGAAGGCUCCGAGUAGCCCGAGUAGGCAUUGAGAACUUGCGUGCCCAGUCGCGACCAGUGACGCAUCGUCAAUGAAAAGCAGGUUGGUAAGUUCACUGUCCACCAGGCUCAUGCCCUGCUCACGGAGAGUGCUCCAUCGGCCGGGAAGACGUACGCGGCAGUCAGUGCCGUGAGCAUCAAUGCAAUGAGCGAACACUUUGAUGAAGAGCCCCCAAAGGGUUACAGUAAAGGGCCGCCCUUGCUUCACGCCGCGGCCUACGGACUAUUCAGGCUCUAAUCUACCACCCAACUUGACCUUAACCUUCACACCAGCAUAGCUAGCCUUCUUUUAUCAUGGCGGCAAAUGGUAGUGUGGACAGUUGUUUGGGGGCAUUUAGUUCCUUUUCGUGUCCUCUACACAUUAUAUAGAAUCUUUGAUCGUACGUCUGAGUGCGGGCGCGGUAUGCACGCAUCCUAACUCUAUGCGUUAGAUAUGGAUGCUGCAGGCGUCGCCCGAAUAAUUCAACAUAUCCAUGUGCGCCAGAGCCCGAUGAGCGCUUAGGACAGCUUACUGUGGUUCAAGGGAUUCCAAACUGCUCGCAACGCUACGUAAUGAGCUCAGCUUUGCAUACGGCUUGUAGUCAAGGUCAACUUCAAAGCAAGCGGCCGAGCCGCAUCUUACAAACGGCCCCUAACCACAGAAUGGUUGGGCGCUACUUCCAUGCCGUCUGAUCCGUCCGUGGUCGUCCGUGCAUGACGGCACGAGGUAAGCCUGAGUCAACUAUGUCCUAACCUACAGUAAUUACCCAGCCACCUUCACUCGUUCACUAAAUUCCUGUGGGAACGCACACAGCUUAAGGCACUUUCGUCCCAUCGCUACCGUCACAUUGAACAUGAAUAUACUUGCCUACCUAUAUACAUCCUGCCUAUGUGUCAGUUAUUGCCUAGCCUGCCUACCGCCUGACCUAUCAUACACAUGAGUUAUCGUAGCGGAUGCAGUCAAGUCGUUUCGUAAGUCACUGCGGCUCCAAGCAAAGUCCCAUGCGCCACAUAAGGUUCCCAGGUCGCGACCUGUCAAGAUACCCUAGCAUCGCCAAGAAAGUCAGGAAAUGUCGGGUAUAUGACGAGUUUCAUGGAUGGUUAUCGCGACCGCAUACCUUCCUCACAUACUAUGUACUCAUCGGUCCCCAACGGUCCCCCAAUACGUCCCCCAUCCACAGCGUGAACAGCACAGGAACGGAAGGCUAACGCUCAGUGCGAUAAAGGGCCUCAACCCAGCUGCCUACAGGCCACCACUGUUUAUGUCCCAGUCCAAACCUGCAGCUCAAUGCAUUGACGGCUAUGCGCUUGUCCUGAUAUCCCCGUUCACCUGUGGCAGGGUCAUAUAAACCAGACACGUUCCCCUCAAAUCCCCAAGAGCCCCAGGAACUCCUCAAUGCUAAUUGUCCCCGUCUUGUUCUUGUCCAAGCGCCGCUUGAGGCUAAUUGCCUGGUGCCGCGUGAAUUUGAGACCGGCCGCCAGCAGGCCCGCCUCCAAGUCCUCACCACCUAGAGCACCUGUGCCUGCCUUGUCCGCGGCGAUGAGCGCUGCCCGCACGGCAUCUUCCUUGCCGCUGACUUGUGCGUUCAGCGACCGGACCAUCACAUCUGUGUCCGCCAUUACGAAAAUGUCCUUGUAGUUCUCCAUGUACGUGAGCGUAUACUCAUCCGCCUCCAGCAGCUCAAAGCUGCGGUUGAAUACUUCAAUAACGCUGCCCACAUACAGGUCCAGAUACGUAUAGAUUUCCUCACUGCGUGGCUUGUAGAUCCGCUGGCGCUCCAGGAAUUUGCCGCCUGCAAUACCCGUGUUGCGCACUGGCGGCUCAAAGAUGAGCAAUGUGUCGUCCAUCAUAAAGUACGACAGGAUGAAGCGCCGCGCGAGAUCGGUACCCGAAUGUUUGUGCGUCUCGGUGUCAACCAUCUUGACAACGAAGCGCAGGAUGAUCUUGUCCUUGUUCAUGAGCUUGUGCAGGUCACGCUUUGGCGGCUUGGGAACUAGGCUGAGGCAGUUCUGCAAGCUGUCCUCUAGCGUGCCAUAGCCGUUGUACGGUGGCAGUGCAGCCUUGGGCUUGGGCAGGAUGGGUUCCUUGAUAUCCACCGGCGUCAUCUCUUCGUCACCGAAGCCCAGGUUAUCCUUGUACCAGUUCUUUGUGAAUGUGUCGGCAUCGUGCAGGUAAAAGUCGCGGCCAAGCACAGAGAUGAAGGUGCCAAGGCGGAAGUCGCCAGGCGAGUAGCAUUGGUCCUUACGGUAUUUGGGGUUAAGCGUGGUGUUCGUCUUCACAGGCACCUUCGGCAGUGGGCCGCGCUUCAGGAACACGGGGAAAGGAUCGCGGCCGCUGUUGCUCUCAUUGAUUUCCAAGAUCUCCACCGUGUCAUCCUCCAGGAAGUAAUGAAGAACGUAUGGCCGGCGGUCGCCAUACAUUGACUGGCGCUCAUCCCAGACGCACCAGAAGCGGAGCACCUUCUUGUUAUUCUCCAGGAACUGGCGCAACCGGUCUCCGUCCAGCAAAUGGCUGGGCUUGCCUAGGCGUGCCUCCACGUACGCCUUGAAGUCAUUCAUGCGCCGGGUCAGCGUGCCAGCGGUCGCUGCAGAAGUACGAGCAACAAUUCAGAGUUUCGAAAAUUUGCACUAGUCCCAAGGUACAAUGCACGCGGGUUGACGUGCCAGGCACUAAAACGAAUAUCGCGCCAACGGCAAAGUCCAAAAAAAACGUCAUCUUGCAAAACGGUAAAAAAAACCAACAUAUGCAAUGCCGCACAUGCUUGGCCACAGCAAAUGUUAAUGGGUCCAAAUUACAAGGACAUGUGACCAGCCAUGGGCGUAGUGCCGUUGGGGAGACCUGCCAUGUGUUCAACAUCAUCUGCAUCAAAACACAACCGUAAGCCUGGAGACUGCCAUAUCCCAUCCUUAUCCCGCGGAACCCUUCCAGGACUCACUGUCGUCAGCGCGCCCACGGUUCAUCCCGAAGGCAGUGCGGUAGCCAUCCACGGGAUCGUCAGGAUACGGCAGCGCAGCACCCUGCUCCUUGCCCUUGCCAGCUAGGUACUCGCGCGUGAAGUUAUCAGCGUCCACAAGGAAGAACGUACGGCCAUAGAUAGUGACACUCUGACCGACGCUGAAGUCAUCCGGGUUAAAAAAGCCGCCGUCCUCGCAGGUCACGCGGUGGCGCUUAAUGAAAACGCCCUAUGGUUCAACAGGGCAGGCACAGGAGUGAAAGUGUUAUAAAAACACACUCGUCCAAGCUCCAGCGGCAUUCCUAGUGCAGGCAAUGCAAGAUUUCCAGUACAACCUGUCGGAAUAUGACAAUUCACAUGUAAAUUAGCAUGUCAAAAGAGGAUGCUCACCUGUGGAAUGCCGCUGUUGUCCUGUCGCGGCUCGGCAACGUGCAUGGUGUCGUCCUCGAGAUAGUAGUAGAGGAUAACCUUGCGGAUACGAUGAUUCUCCAUGUUGCUCUCAACCACAGACUCCUUGAAAUAACCGAAGAAGCGCAAGACCUGUCGUUUUUGGCAAGCAGUUGAGCUGUGAGCACUAAGUUACCUUUUAAGACGCGGCCCAUCAGAACAAUCUAUGAGUCGCGCACCUUGCGAUCGUUCUCCACCCACUGCGGUAGCUUGCUGGCAGCAUCCGGCGCCAGCAUGCUUGCGGGCAGGGUGGCCGAGGAGGUCCCAGCAACGGCAUCCGUAGCGACACGCUCCGGCAACUCCUUAACAACCGCCAAAGUCUCUUCCCUCUGAUACCCAUUCAAAUAGUUAAGGGUUUGGUGCUUCUUGAACCCCUUGUCGCUCAGCGAUUGCUGCGGAAUGGAAAAUAUUUUACCGUCUUAGGGCCCGAUCGACUCAAGCACAUAACCCACAGUCAGCAAGUUAAAUACUUACAGGCAUGCAUACUGUGUAGCCAGGGAGCUUGGGAAUGGGCGGCGCGGACAUCUUGGUUAAAGUUUUGGUGAAGAGGUCACGAAGUGAAGUGAGAUGUUUUAGUAAUACGCCUGUGAUGUAACUGAUCUGACAGCAGCUUAGAACGAUUCCAUUAAAGGGCAUUUGGGAUUUCGUUAUAGGCAAGUCCGACAGUUCGAAGGCAGCCAGCCAACCCUCCAGGGGAGCCCAAAACUUGUGCGAAAUUACUUUCAAUUAUACAAAUACAUUCAAUUAAUUAGUCACAUGCUCAACCAUUGCUGCGUGCAGUAAGCUGUCUGAUCUGUUCCUUCAUGCAUUACUGCCUUCGCCUCCGUGCAUGGUGGAAAUCAGUUUUUAGGGCACAGAUAUUUGUAGAAGAUAUGACCCAUGUAGCUGGUCUCGGCGCUGGAGAGAUUCUUGGAAUGAGAAUUGCAGGACCCCGUUCCUCAACACGCCUCAACACCCAGAACACCACAACAGCGACAUGUCAUGAUAUGCUGGCCCACUCCUUGCACCAAGCCGAGUCCACAGCAAAGGAUACCGUCGGAAGGGAGCCCUCGGCGCUGUGCGCUAGCUACAGCACGCACAGCUGAAGCCCUGGGCUAGCCGUGGGUAGAUCACUGUGCAUUGAGGGCAGCACACGGCUACACGACUGAGGACCUCUACAGGCGUGCACAAACACCCUACGAACAGUACCUGGUGUAGCGUCCCAUAAUAGUUGGGGCCAGUGGAGCCUUCUGGCCUUAAAAGAAACGAAAAUGGAUGGGAGCUCUCACGGUCGUGAUGCUAGUCACUGACUGCCCCAGUAUAUUCGCUGUUUCAACACGGGGUAGGCUCAGAGCAGGCUUGGGGUACAGGAGCGGUGAGAUACGCAUAGACGUACGUAAAGCUCUCCGGUGUUUUCCGAAUGGAGAAGCAUUAGUGAAGAGAUGGUACAGCGCAGUACGCCUAGUAAAAGCGAUUUAGUUCACUGCUGGGUGCUACCCUGAGUCAACGAUCCAACAUAUGGCACCGAUGUUGAUCCAACAUAUGGGAAAUCAUUAAGAGAGCUGCGAUGGCUUGGCUUCCGCGGUGUUCUCCUGCCCUGGUACAUUACACCAUAUACACAGUUAUCACCAUCUCGCGAAAAAGUUUCAGGUCUAGGGAUUCAGGUCAAUCAGCACGGCCAUCGAAGGCCAACCACCUGCGCAUUAUCACCUCCUACAAGCAAUCAGCAGCUCUUCACAGUGCAUGACGUGGCAACCCAACCUUGAGGUGACCGCGGGUGUGGUCACAAGCAACGGGGCCCACAUAAAAGAAUAUCACACAUGCGCCAUGCACGGCAAACGAAAGCGGAGCACCGUAGUGCCGUGCCCCGAAGAAAGAGACAAACGUGUGGAAAGCACCGCAGAGGAAGGAAAGCGCCAAAUUGUAGGGCCGCCCGUACACGGCCAAGAGUUCAAACUAUGUCAGGUACGCAGUGCACUUGAUGGUACAGGGGGACAACUCUGCGGGCUUCGAAUGCUGACAUUCCGUUCACACACCGCUCCACACGAACAUAACACACCACAAACAGUACGGAAGAAACCGACCGGACAAAGAUCAAAACAGAAACGGAAACUGGAGCUCGCACGCUGAGCACACACGCUCUGUCUGGGGCCAUCCGGGUAAGCAAAAACGGCUAGGCGACGACAACCCCUGCACAGCCCUUCCGCGCGAAGCUGCGUAGCUGCAGCCAAUACCCAAGCCAAAUUAUACCGGCACGCAAGCGUCCCGUUGUGUCCAGGCAAAAGUCGUUGGAAGCCCCCAAGGGCAUCCGGACUACUUCGGAAUGUCGGAAGUGGCUUCCUUGGCAGUGCUGGCAGAGGGGGGAAGUCGGUUGUAUUCCUGCACGGCCUUCAGCGCCUUGUUAUAUGCGACCUGCGACAACCAGAAAACCAUGCCAGGAGGACGUCAUAAUCGUUCCCCGUGCUCGACGUUUUGGAUAACGUAAUGCCGUGGAAUUCCACCUGGUAAACCUGGUAGACGGACGUAACCUGUCCCACAAAAGCACGAUUUCAACCCAGCAGCUUACCACUCGGUUAUUAGCGGCUGCCACAAUCCGGUCGGCCACGAGAACCUCAACAGCCGCGGGAUCUGCGCAUGUAAAUAAAGGUUCGGGUAGUCUGUACUUGGGAAGAACCAUGCCAGUACACUGCAACCGGCUUAUCACGUUGGUGCAUGCUUGCCAACUUCCAUGCGAAACAGUGUUUCCAAGUUAAGCUCCACAAGUUUUACGGAUACUGUCCGCUUGCAUAGGAGACAUGACUAGCACUGCCAGUCGCUAAUCCCUUGACGGAAAUAGCCUGCUGUACACGGGGUAGAAAAAAAUGCUAGGAGAUAGCGACCGGCUAAUGCAACUCCCGAGGACGCUAAAGACGUCUGGGCGGCUUAGGCGGACACGAGCAGCCCGGCACGUGACACGUUGGGAGGAAACCUCACACAUGAAAUGGGACUCGCUGAGCCGAGGAAGCCAAGCAGGCCCACUCCCCUUUACCCACCAUCCCCACAUGCAAUAGCCACCUUGGUUCAGGCGCAUGCCCCCGAAUGCCACGCCAUUACUAGAGCAGUUACCCAGCUCUCGGUCUACGACACGAAGACACGAUCGGGCCGCUGUACAGCCAACAAUGUCGGUACAUAUAAUUUAAUAGUUGCACCCAGUCAUGUCCUGGAAAAAACUGGAUGGAGGGCUAUAAUAUAUUCAAAGGGCCCAUGCUAGACAAACAUCACCACAAGGACACAAGGACCAGAACUCCAAAAUCAGCACCCGCGCGCACCGUCGUUUCGUUCCCUUAGCUGCUGGUGCUUGUCCAUUUGCGCUUGCAGGUCCUCGAGCGAAUUCCGCACCUGCACCAUGGAACCGCACCGGUGGCAGUACGUACGCAAAUCAAGCAAAAGCUGUCUGCGUAUGCCCGCAAUGGUAGCGCAUAUAAGCUGCAAUCUGCACACAUACAACCGAAACAACCUUUUCAAUCAACUACGCUGAUGGCAGGAGGUAAACUCACCCCGUCCUCAAGGCGCUCCUGCUCCGCCAUCAACGAUGGGUGAAUCACAGGAAUGGCCGUAGCCGCUGCAAAGUUGGAAGGAACUACUCGGGGAGAUGCAGCACGCGAUGCCACGCUUCCUACAGGCGGCACAGCAGGUUGUGGAGUCGCAGCCGGAAUCCCUGUUGCCUGGGUCGGCGGCGGUGUGCCAUUGCUGGAGGCCUUUGGCGCAGCCGCUGCAGGUGGCACCGGCGGCGACACCUGUGGUGUACUCGCAGCCGAGGGCCCAGCGACAGAUGCAGCUGCUGCGGAAGGUUGCGGCACAACCUGCUGCCGACCAUUCGUCUCCCGAGGUUGAGGCGAUUGCUGCUGCGGCGACGGCUGUCCUUGUCGGUGUUCGGCUGCUGCUGCGGGCUUACCAUGCCCGGCGGUGCCGUUGCUGCUGGACCCAGCAGCCUGAACCUCCGCCUCCUCUAUGUCCACCUUCUUGAACGAAUCAUCCCAAGCAUCCGCAACUUUAACCCGCUUUGGAAUUUUCGUGCCACUCGGUUGAAGUGGAAGGGUAACACGGUAAUUACUGCCGGGCUUCCAGUAACCAAUGUUGCCAUCCUGGUUAACCACAACAUACUUGUACUCCAGGUCCAAAGCGCCCCUACAGACCGGAGAGGUCAGCAAGCGCAAUGUAACCCGUGGGUCACAGCGAAACAAAACACUCCCUUCGCCUGAAUAAGGAGACAUCAGCGAAAAACGUGUAAGGCAUACAUACCCGGGUGAUAUGCUUAGCUCCACUGUCCACCAAUCGCCGUCCGUCCACUUCAUUUGCACUGUCCGCUUGGGGUCCCAGUUGCCAAGCGAGUCGCCUGAGCCAACCAAGCCCAAAGACUGUCCGAAGUUGACCCGAUACGGAAUCUUGAAGUUUAACCGGAGAGGGUUGUUGGGCUUGUUGCCUGAAGCAAGCCAAAAAAGCGCGCUUGCAACUCAACAACCAGUAAGGACAAGAACGCAGUCCCACGCUAUACCGCAAACAUCUCACUUAUUUCGUCUGCACCGCCCUUAAAGCAACGGACGGCCCUGGACCGGAUGCAAGACCUGGUUCCCUGCAAUGUAAGAAGCUUCCCGUCUUAAAUCUGUUGCAGCCUUUUGACACAGCAGUCAUGCAAAUAAAUGCUUUUGGUAUGUUUGCAAAUACGUACCCUGCAUAGAGGGAUGUAUCUCUGGGCUGUUCCACAGCACUGCUGACUCCUUGGCGAAAGCUGGACCAUCCCGUUGGAACCAAAGGCAAUGUUGCGAUGACCUGGAUAUUGUGCCGCCCCAGGCAGGCGGGUUGGCUAAGUGUCCAGUGGCACAGGGAGUCGUUUCGGACAAGGGAGUCGCUAAAUCAGCAUGGACACAACAAUAAGCUCAUUGCAAACAGCAUAAAGUUCAUGCACGUUCAAUGCAUUUCUGCAUAUAUGCGCUGACGUGGUUCCGGCGUGCAGAAAAGGAACAGGCGGUACGAACGGCAGUACGAUGUUGCCGAACGCCCGCACAAGCUCUCGAUCGAAUGAAGAGAGGAUACAAAGGGCAGGAGAAAUAGGAGACGCCGAGACUAGACCUCUGAGGUAUCCCGUAUUCCGAGCUGUAUACGGACGUUGAAUCUUAUCUGGCGUUACUAGUAUUUCCCAGUCCACAUCGACUGUUACCCUGCAUUGACUGCUACCUUGCUGUUGAAGGCCCCCGUGUUCCCACGUACCCCCCACACGGUAUGCGUGUUUGUUUUUUUCAUCCAUACGGACAAUACCCCCAUCUGGUUUGGCACGGUUUCGGUCGGGCGGGUGCGGCGGGAAUUACGUGUAAGGGUUGUGCCUUGGACAUUACCGUAGCCAGAGAAGUCGCCCUUGUUACAGUUUUUAAGUUGUCCGCACCUGGAUUUCUCCCAGGCAUUGAUUGCCACUCCAGGGUACCAUUCCCUGAUUGAUGGGCAGCAUAGGACCGCACUCAUACGUACAACCAGGUAGCCGCUGAUCUGUAGCAGUGAUACAUACUUUGUUGAUUGUAUUUAUCGUUGUGAAACAUAUCUACCACGUUCCUCACUCAGCGACAAUAGAUGACGACGAUCGACUCCGUGUCAAUAGCAUCUUGACAUAUCCCUGGAACGCAGACCAGAUCAUACCAAAUAGUUAUAUAUGCUGUCGGGCUGUAGCCCAAGAAACCUAAUAAACGAAUGCCUGUGAGUGUUGUAGUGCGGUUGGCUUCGAUUUGUAAAAUAUGAAGAUUCUAACUCCUUCCCACGGUGUACUUUUGAACACGACAGGCCCGGAAACUACUAGAAAUUGAGCCGCCUGGUGCGUCCACGCUUUCCCGAAUGCUGCAGGUCGAAUGCUCAUACCCGUAACUGUCCUCACGUUCGUCACCCUUUGUACCGUUGCAGGAGCUGUGCGAUAUAUCCUCGGACUCAUUGUUAUGCUGGUUGGAGUUGUAAGUUGUGCUUGCCGAUACCGUAACCUGGUUAGGAGCACGAAGUCGACCUCCCCCUCCCGCGAACACACCACCACCUUCAACAAGGGACUAUGGACCCUUUCGCCCAGCCUUCCAUAUCCGUUGCGCCUAUAUCCGGCACCCGAUCGAUCCCGGCUGAGACAUAAAAAACAGUCCCAUGCCCGCAUACGCCCGUUUGAGCUCGGAUUUGUGUCAACGCAGCCUCCAUUUCGACGUGUAGCAUAACCCCUCCUCUGCUUGUCCCGCAGAUCCUCCCGCUUGCGUACGCAUUCCUGAGGCGCAAGAACCCCUUGGCGGCCAACUUCCGACCGCUCCGCACAUCAGCCUGACGCAGAGUCGGAUUUCCAUACCCUUAUCGUAGCGUGUGUGCUGCCGCCGCCUCGUGCAAUAAGGAAUUUCUAGCCGCGGAGACCCACAGCAGCCAUUCGAUUUAUCCGCUUUGGAUCGCCGCUGCGCAGUCUGCGGUCCUCUUCAACUUUCCUUGUCACCUUGUGCUCUGCCAGCUAUACACGCAAGUAAACGCAAAUGCAAGGCCUCAUGCGUGCCGUGCUGCUCUGCCGCGGCUCUUCCCAAGCCGCCUCCGCUGCUGCUGCGGCAGCUGGGUCGGCCACGUUUGUCUUUCCCGCCCUGGCGGCUGCAUCAGCCCAUCCCCAGCGCUUUCUUUUCGCCGGCAUCGCCCAGCGACGCCUGUCAACCUCGUCCCCCUCUGCCAGCAGUAGCCACGGCCACGCGCACAGCGCUGCAUCUACUCCAUGCAACACAGUCGGCGAUGCUGGCGCUGGUGCGGGUGCCGCCGCGUCUGUUGGUGGCGGUGGUGAGGUCGGGCAGCUGCAUGUGACCGUGGAGCCCCUAUCCGGGGUGCACGAGGGCGUGUCCAUCAUCAGUCUGAGCCGCCCCGCUGCGCGCAACGCCAUUGGUCGGCAACUGCUUCGCGAGCUGGCUGAGGCUCUGGAUACUGUGCGCCAGGAGCGGACCACUCGGUGUGUGCUGGUGCGCAGCGUGGUGCCAGGUGGGGCAGGAGGGGAGGGGCAGGAACGGGGGGGAGAAGGGGGGAGGGGGAGAAGGGGACGACGUCGGCGACAGCGGAACCAGACGUUAUCUGGUGAAUGCGUACACGGGAGGGAGCGGAAGUGGAAAGGUACAGACGGGCUGGGCGGGGUGGUCGUGAGAAUCAUGGGGCGGAGAGGACGGGUGGGGCCGGGGGAUUUGGAGGUGGCAUGGAAGGGCGGAGAUCGCUUUGGGUUCCGGCGAGAUGAUCACCCAGUGUGAUGACGGCUCUCAGGAAGGGGAUAUGCGCGGCAGGGUGGAGGUACUGCAAAUGGGUUUCAGCUGGGCGAGGGUGGUCACAUGAUCUGAACAGGCCGGCAGCGGCGUCCCUGCAUACGGACACUGGGAGAAGAAGCCAUGGACAGGGCCCCGGGGGCCCUUGGCUGCCAGGAUGGCCGGAAGGCCUUCCUAGAAUUUGCCCACUUUAGUCGAUUUUUACGAGGGCUGGGUUAAGGGCAAACGAGCUUGCGGGGGUUUAAGAGGUAAGCCAGGUUGAUAUCCAGGGCGCAGAGGGCCGUUGUGAUAUACAUGUAUUGGUUUAUAUCAUAGUAAAGGACGGGAAGGACCCGGACUAGGUAAAACCUGCCUAGCGUUUUGCUGCGUGUGCGUGUGGAGGGCGCGUCGAAGUGCGACCGUUCCGCGCCUCUCCCCUCGUUGUAUCUUCCGGCAUGGGGGCCCAUUCUGCCCUCGUCAGCUACACUACUACCUACCCGCUGCCGCGCUCAUGACCCAUCUGUGUCGCAGCCACCACCUCCACCCCAUUCUCAUCCCUUGCUGGGCCCCACCCCCACGUCCCUCGCCCCCACACCCCCACACCUCUCCUGGCGACGUCAGGUGUGUUCUGUGCGGGCGCCGACCUGAAGGAGCGGGCCACCAUGAGCCAGAGUGAGGCGGCCGAGUUCGUGUCCAGGAUCCGCCGCACGUUCACGGAGCUGCAGGUGGGGCGGGAAGGAAGGGGCUGCCGGGAAGGGGGGAAAGGCCCGGGGCGGGGCGGUGUUGGCCACACCUAGCGGCGGCGGCGGCAGCGGACGGUCCCCGCGCUCCCCGGAGGGGGCACCCAAGCACAUACGUACAUACGUACAUGCAUACAAACAGGCAGACACGCGGGCGUUCCCGGGGUGUGGAUGUAAAGGGGUCACCGUAGUUGUGGAAUUGAGGGGGGUCGGGCUUGUGUUAACGCGACUGCUGUUCGGUGUUGCCUUCAGGACCUGCCCAUGCCUACACUGGCUGUCGUGGAGGGCCUAGCGCUCGGAGGCGGUGCGGAGCUGGCACUGGCGUGUGACAUCCGGGUGAUGGGCUCGGGGGCGUCCAUGGCUUUCCCGGAGGCCCAGCUGGGCAUCAUACCGGGCGCGGGGGGUACACAGGUGGGAGAUAUUGGGGGCCGCCUGCUGGGGGAGGGGAGAGGGCCGGGGGGGGGAGAGGAAAGGACACCAGCACACCAGCGGCAUUGCGAACCCGAACACCGGUGUACCGCGUGGCGGGUACGUGGUGGUGGCGGGGUCGGGGUGGGUAAGGAGAAGGCAACCUGGGGGAAGGUGGGUUGCAGCGCAUGCGGAGGGCCAGAUAACCAUACUUGUGUACGUUGUUUGCGACUUGAGGGGUUCGGGAAAGCGCGCGCAAGGAGUAAAUGGGCGGAACACUACUACGGACAGAGGCCUUGUGCAAGUAGACGUGCAGUACGGGGCUCCUUGAGUUGGGGGUUCUUGCGUACAAGAGGGCGUCCUUGAAAGCAUCAUGGAGGCAGCAACGGCCACGGUCCCCACCCACCCGCACGGUCCCCUUCGCUCUCCUCUUCAUUUCCUGGCCGCGCCUGAAACCGCUUGCAUCGACCCUGAACUGCCUCUGCCCUCAACCCUAUGUCCCUCGGCGUCUAAUUGGCCCCCCUGUGUCCCACUGCUUCGCCUCCUUGCUCCUGCGGGGGCCCUGGUUCCCCGGUGUGUAUGUAUGUGUGUGCGUAUGUAUGCGUGUCUCUGUCCCCCAGCGGCUCCCCCGCCUGGUGGGCGCCAGUCGUGCCAAGGAGCUCAUCUUCACGGGCCGCCGGGUGACUGCUGCGGAGGCUCUGGACAUGCGGCUGGCGGAACACGUGGUGCCGGAUGACCAGGUCGGAGGGGUAGGGGGGAGAGGAGGGGAGUGGCGAGGAGGGGUUGGAGGGAAACGAGGGAGACCGCCCAAUCACAGUAAAGGUAAUGGAGGGAGGGAGAGGGCAGAGGAGUAGGAGAGCAAGGAACCCCGGACUCGUGCCCUACUUUGCCGGUGGAGCCCGGCCUCGACUGACAUGCGGGUCAGUGUGUGAGGGCAUUGCGAUUGCAGCCUGUUACGUGGUGUCGUGUAAUGGCCAUUAUGGCUUCAUUCCGUGUUCACUCGAGGCUGCCUGGGCCUGGGUGGCGCUUCCACUGGUUGCGCAGUCGCCUUGUUCGACUUUUGUGUGAUUUCCUUUUUGCAUUUCUGCCUCUGUGUGUCAUUCGCCCUUCCUUCCUCGCUCAGUCAUCCCCUCUUUCGUUCUCUCAUUCACUCCGUGCCACCCCGCGUGUGUGUAUGUAUGUAUGUAUGUAUGUAUGUCAUGGUGUCAGGUGUACAACCGGGCGCUGCAGCUGGCGGAGCAAAUGGUGCGCAGCGCACCCCUAUCCCUGCGGCAAGCCAAGGUGUGUAGCGGUGCGGAGGGAGACGCCCAUACCUCCAGCAGCCUUUACGUCAUGUCGACGGCUGGGUGUAGGCCGCUCUUUGUCCUGUUCGUUCGUUGCCCCUCACGCCGCUGGCAUUGCCCUGCCCUCCGCCUCCACCCGGGCCCCUCUAUGUGGCCGCCCCCCCACCCCCAGGUGGCCGUCAACCGGGGUCUGGAGGUGGACCUGCACACGGGGCUGGCCAUGGAGGAGGCGCUGUACGCGCAGCUGCUACCCACUCGGGACCGACUGGAGGGACUCAAGGCCUUUGCGGAGAAGCGCAAGCCGGACUACAAGGGAGAGUGAGAGGCCUUCGGGCGGCGUAGGGGGUGCGGCCGGGAGGUGUAUGUGAUGGGGGUGCGUGGGGCUGCGGUGCAACUGCCAAUGUUACGGACUGCCAACCCGGACCCCGAGAAGUGCACGGGGGGGAGGCGGAGGGAGGGAGGGCGACUGGGGUGUGUGGGUGGGGCUGGGGGUGUGUGUGAACCAAGGCGGUCCUGCGUAUUGGGUGAUGUGCUGAUGAGGAGGAUGGGUUGAUGCACCGGGGCGAGGAGGAGGAGGCGGAGGCGGAGGAGCCGCAUCGAGCAGCACACGCCCCACGGAGCGACCUCGCUAGCUAAACACGUGGAUGUGGCGUGGGUCCAGAGAAGAGGAGGGGGUGUCCUGUUGUGAUGUGGGUUAGGUCGGGUACGGAGUGGGGCCUGGGGGUGAUGGAGGGGGGGACUUGGGGCGGAUUGGGGUUGGCUCGGGGAUUGUUCCGUGGCUGGCAGCUUUUUGAGAUGCUGCUUGGGUGGUGGGGUGGGAUGGGAUGAGAACCACCACCUGGGCAUCAUCAUGCUGGGGAGGAGGACGGUAUGUGUGUGUGUGUUGAGAUUGAGGUUGAGACGUGUUGUGUGUGACUAUGUGUGUGUGUGUAUCGAUGUGUGUGCUUGGGGGGAGUGGCACAAUAUUGCGGUUGGUGCAAUAGCGGACGGUCGCCAGCUGCCUGAUGCCGAACCCCGCCCAUCCGGUACCUGGGUUUGCUGCACAGCAGGUUGUGAAGGGUGUUUACAUGGGCCGCAGCUUAGCGUUGUGUAUGCCUUAGCUCCAUGUAGGCACUGCUAGUUUGACGCAAUAUGUGUUGUAUUUGGGCGUUUGACGGCUACACUUCUGCCGCCUGCCUUGUUUAGUUUUUUGGCCAUGAAACUUCACCGCUGCGCCCCGUGCGGCACCCGGCAGCCUGCAUGUGAUGUGAUGUGCUGCGGGCGCUGCUGCCUCUCAGCGUAAGGAGGGUGGUGCAGGCGAAUGGAGCUGCAGGCUUGGGACAUUAAUAAGGCUGCAAGCCCCUGGGGAUGGGGAACUGGAUCGCGGGGCAGGUUUCCAGAAGCCGCUCGGUGCUUGGUGGAGAGAGCACCGGAACGGGGGUAUUGACGGCUUCCUUCGUUUGUCAAGUCCCCGGGGGAAUCCUAGUCGGCGGAUCGCGCUUUUUUUAAAACAGCCCAAAGUUGACUGGUCAAAAUGGGCAGCUAUAAGCCCGCCAAGUUCUUCGUUCCGGCCCAACUAAUUCGUUGGGACAGUCAAUCAUUAGGAAUCUAAUAGGGACACUCUCAUUGCCAUAAGUUUGGACGUCACAAUUGUCACAUAGCCAAUCCUACUGCGCUACUGCGACCAUACGGGGCCCGCCAAGGUGCAUCUACUACUUCUACUACUGCUGUGCGCCUUAGCGGACGACACCAAGCAUCAGCUUGCCGAGGCGCGCCGGGUUGCGGCGGUUACCGCCAGAGGCGGAAAGCAUCACCACCGAUACACUCCUCCCUGCGUGUGCAUUCUCAUGCCGUACAGACGCAAUUAAUACAUGAUGCACACAGAAAUAAAUCCACUCACAAGGCCAUUCGUUUCAAUUGCUUUUUAAUGUAAUUACGGCAUACGACGACAAGUAAAUAAAGGGUAAGAAUGUAAGGGUAAAGGAGCACGCAAUUUUGCCUUAUCAGCAGUCCAAGUCGUGCGAACACGACACGCACAUAAACAAUGUCCCACCCUGUCCGCACGCACUGUACAGCACAACCGGAAACCUGCACCCCCCAAAACGUGUCACGCCUCCUCUCCGCCUCCUCACCUUUCCAGCCACGGCGCCAUGACCCCCCCAAACACCAAGGCGCACUAAGCCAUACACAGCGCCUCCCCCCAGUGCCCCUAGCGGCUUACAAACGAUCAUAGAGGCCACUCCCCGUGCCCCGUGGCCAAGGGGCCCCCUGCACCUGAAGUGGCAUACUCACACCGGGCACACACACGCACGGCCAAAGCAACUAACAAUCAGUCAGAUACGUGCUCUCGACCCCACACGUAACGAACACAUCCUCCACCCCACAACCCAGUACUAAACAGCAGCUCCAAAACUGAGCGUGUCGCCUCCUGAAUGAGAUACCAAGUAGAGGAGGAGACGAGAGACACACCUGCACUGCUUCUUGGCCCCCCGGCCCUCAUCCGGACAGCCAACAUAUAGCACCCGAUUACCUAGGGAUGGGAUGCGGUGAGCUGUCACAGUGCUCUCUUCCUGAUGCCGCCCUGCCGGGUAGAGCUCUAAUUAGGAAGGGGCCCCCCUGAUUAGGGGCCCUGUAACCCCCUAUGGAUGCAGCGAGCACGUGCGUGCACCGUACCUGCAUUGUACAUGUCAGUAUCCACGUGUACACAUACACACCAACACAACACCCUGCGGGUCGUGACUCGUACAUCAGCAACUGCGCAUGUUGACGUCAGUCGCCUCUGCAGUCGAUAAAUCGAACAACCUCAGCGAAGGUUUCUGCCUGCAACACCAACGACGGCUAUGUAAGCUAUAUCACCCCUACCAUCAUCCCGCAGCGAAACCCCUGAGGAAGCUGUGUGCUUAGAAAUAUGUACUUAUGUAUGCAUGUAUGUAUGUCGCGCACGCCUUCAGUCCUAGAGACCAAGGGCACUCUUGGACAGCCGAACAUCUACUCGUCUGAACGCCGUGGGCCUUAUCGUUUCAUGUACGGCAUAUCAUUUUCUUGGGUCCGUGUGUCUGCGUCGCCUUGUGUAUGUGUGCACGCGGGUACCCGGGCGCCCCGGGGUUGCACUCCCGGAACGGCGCAAGGCCACCACACGGACCCCACAUGGGCCCGCAAGGAGGGGAGCAGGGGGGUGGGAGAGGGGGGGGGUUCCGAACCCCCCGGGGUAGCAGCGGCUGGACAGAUGGAUGGGAUAGAUGGCUGUACGGAUACACACGGCGGGACCUAGGACACUGACCGCCUGAUAGCCCUCCUGGUGGGCAAAGGGGGGUGUACGAUAUCACCUAGCACCACAACGUACCACAGCGCUACUUCAACACUCACUCUUACCGUCAGUCUUGCUGCAAACAACAGAAACGUCAACGACUCAUUGAAAGGCCUCUAAAGCCACCUCCUUGCCACCUGAAAGCCACCGUGACAUACACACACACAAAAAAAAUGCACAUACAUACGUACACACAUACAAAAGGCACUGAGAUACCAGGGCAUUAUCUUUGGACGCCCCGCUUCUCCGCUUCAGGGCCCCUCCGCCUCCUCUCCAUGCAUUGCAGCACGGUUUCUUCUCCCCUCCCCCCCCUCGCGGAGCCCCCCCCCUCCCCUCCGCCAAAACCCUCCCUGUCCGUCUCCCCGCGCCCACACCCCUCCGUCACCCCCGCACCCGCACCCGCACCCGCACCCCUCCCACCCAACACCCCGCUCUCCCGGGGAGCGGGGAUGAAGCGGCCCCCUUCAGGGCCACAGCCAGCAUAAAAAGACAACAAACUAAUCACAACACAGCACAACACGAGGUACGACACAGCGCGCAACAGGAAACGGGCCCCUCACCACCUGGCCGCGGUGGGGUGCAGCCGCAGCGGUGGUGUGUGGUGUGGUGGCUGCAGUCGGCGCAUCAAGCCGGUAUAAAGAGGCCGCGUCCGGCCGGGGGCUCCGGCCCUCCCAUCCGGCCCUCCUUUCCCCUCUCCCGUACCUCUCCCCCCUCUUGUACUCCUUUGUAAGGGGGCGGCUGGAGGGGAGGGUAAAGGAGAAGGUGCUAGAUCCCGCAGAAAACACCCACCCAGGCACGAGCACCGACACAUACCCACUCAUCCUACCCUUCCAGCUGUCCCCCGCAAUCCCUCCCCCCAUCCAACCAGGCAGCCCUCAGCCCACCGCCAAUACGCUCCAUUACUUCAAAUCAUGCCCACACGCAAUUACGGAGUGCGCUAAGGAGGCUAAGGAGGCUAAGGGGGCUGCUCAGAUAAUCACCAACCUUACCGCCCAGGGCGCCUUACCCCAGGCCACUGUCGCCAUAUCUCCCCCCACUCCCUCCCCCUCCAGCUCAGCUCUCCCUCCUCUACCUACACCCCCCACCCGACCCCACGAACCCUCGCCCACUUACCCUCGCCCAAGCAUUACCGAGCACUCACUGGCAUGCGGCACACCGUCACAAGCAUCACCUUUCCUUUCCACUGAGGACCCCCACCCCCGCCCACCACCACAUCCCACCACCACCACAUCCUCCACCCGCACCCCACCCCAAUCCCACCCCUACCCACUCUACCCGGGCCCCCCCCCUAACCCCGGCAGCCCUCAUGAGGUCGGCAACCGACUGGAGCUCGCAGUCACCUCCAGCGCCAGGUCCUGUUCCAAAGCCGUCUGGUGGAUGCUGUUCUUGCGACUCAGGGCGCUGGAGGGCCGACUGGCGGCCAGGCUGCCGCCCGCAGACGUGCCCGUGGUGGUGCGGAUCAGCCCCGUCAUGGUUCGCACCAGAGGGUACUCAUGAACAGAACUGGCAAUGGUGGCGGCCUUCUUCUUAGCGGCGGCACCGCCACCGCGGGUCAUGGACUUUGUGGGUGCCAGGUGGGGCCCCCCCGGCGAAGGCGGCGGACCCUCCUUCGUCCCCUCGAGUGCAUCGCGAACCUGACCGCGUCGAAGACCCGUCGGAGACAUCUUCGACGCGCGGGAGACGUAAGAUAAAAUGUACUCGCGUACGGCUUCGGAUAGGUACGGGUUGUCAAAGCGCUUGACGCGGAAUGACACGUCGAUAAUGGCGGAGAGGAAGCCCUCGUAGGUGAGCACGGGGGCGGCGGUGUUGAUGGCGUUGGGGUCGAGCUUGGCGUAGGCUCGGAAUACGGCCUCGCAGUCCCUCGGGUGCAGCAUCUUAUGUGGCUGUGUAACUGCCGACACGCGGCUGUUGGAGCGCGGGUCCGAGGUCUCCGUUUCUUUGCAGAAGAGCAUCCAUUGCUGGAAGGCCAGGCUGGGGGGCCAGUAGGCGGCGAAGUUGUUCUCGAGCUGCACGGGGGGCGCGGGGGGAAGUCGCGGGGAGUGGGGCGUGGGGGAGCCCGGUAGGGGCAGGAAGGGGCCGGGGAGGGCGGAGGCGGCCGAGGGGCUGCGGGCCCUCGAGGGGGAGAGAGCGCCGCGGCGGGGGACGAGGGCGUGUGCGGGGAUCUGGUUGACGUGGUGGUUGGGUAGGUGGUUGGUUGGUUGGUUGUUCGGUCGAUUGAUUGAUCAGUUGAUUAGUUCAUGGGUUGGUUAGGUUGUCGGUUGAUGGGUUGGAUUGUCGGUUGAGUUGUCGACAUAGUUGGUUAGCAUGGUUGGUUAAUGUGUUCGUUGGUUUGUUGGCAUGGUUGGUUGAUAAUUUGUUGGUUCAAUGGUAGCCAUGGUUUGUUGUCAGUUGAUCAGUUGGCAUGGUUGGUGUUAAGUGGCCAUUUAUUAGUUGACAGGGUUGGUUAAGUUGUCGAUAGUUGGUGUGGUUGGUUGACGGGUUAACGGAUCAGUUUGUUGGUGGAAGAGGGGAGGAGGAAGAGGUAUAGGAGUUGGGGAAAAGCGUUGUCGGGAUUUGGAAAAAAAUAAAAAAACGUUGUAGACCGUGUCGAUGGGGGAGGAGAUGGGGGCAAGGGGAGAGAGGUAGAUUUUCAUGAGAACGACGAAUCACUUCAAGAUCAAUAAAUUUACAAAGAAAUUCUGCACACACAAUCCAGAACGAAAAAUAUCGUACCAAAUAAGACAUACAUGCAUACAUACAUACAUACAUACAUACAUACAUACAUACAUACAUACAUACAUACAUACAUACAUACAUACAUACAUACAUACAUACAUACAUACAUACAUACAUACAUACAUACAUACAUACAUACAUACAUACAUACAUACAUACAUACAUACAUACAUACAUACAUACAUACAUACGUACCUGCGCGUAAUAUAAAAACACCGCUCGCAGGUCGCCAUGGUAAUGGUUGAGCACUUUCUGCACGGCAUACGAUUCGCCAAAGGGGUUGGUUUGCCCUACAAACAGCUUUUGCACCCUGUCGAGCACCUCCUGCAUCCCAGGCUCCAUCUCCCCCUCUCUCAGGGUGGUGGCGUAGCGCUCGGCGAUAUCGGAGAACUGCAGCAGCUGCCGCUUGAGGGCGGCUACAGCCGUGGUCUCCUCUCUGCAGGAUAGUCGGGUCGGGGAAGGGCAUGGGAUGGGAGACCGGGGAAAAGGGGAACAACACAGACAGACAAAACAGACACAGAAACCCUCUCCCUUUUCGACACCCAUUUCUUCUCUCCCCCCAACCACACACACACACACACGCAGACCCACUUGAGCCUCUCCGUGAGUCUCUGCACCUCGGCCUCCAGCUGCUCCGCCCUCCGCUUCACCGACACGUCCCGCUCGUGGCACUCCUUGAGGGCCGUCAUCACGGUGCCCCGCUCCCCGUCCAGAGUGGACUGCAGGGAGUGCGCCCGCACCUCCAGCUCGGUGAUGCGAGCCUCGGCCUCCGUGGCGCGCUGUGGGGGGGAGGGCGGGGGGGGCAAUGGGGGGCAGGGGGGCAGGGGGAAAGAGGUGACGCCUGGCCUCAGUUUGAGGGGCAAUGAUGGCUGGCUGGGAUGGCAGGGCAGAUAGAAUGAAUCACGUUAAGAAUAUGGAUCGAAGGCUAGGCAAUAUACAUACCUACCUACCUACCUACCUACCUACAUAAUAACAUACACAUACAUACAUACAUAUACAGCAUACGCAGCCUCACCUUGCGCUGCUCCUCGGCAUCUUGUCGUGCGCUGUUCAGAUCCUGUCUAGCCACCAACAGGGAGGACUGCAGCUCGGAUACACGGUGGUCAAAAGCAGCUACCAAGAGCUCCUUCUCGCGCUCCAAUUGCCGUACCUGAAAAGUACGAUAACGGUACGACAGGCAGCAGAAGCAAAAGAGCACGUGCUCCUUCACGUCCGCGGCGGCGGCGGCAACAGCGGCGGCAGCAGCGGGGCGCAAAGCAAUCGCGACCCCGGCAACCGGGUCCCCCGACCCGAGCUCCGUACCCCCCUCCGUACCCCCCCCCCGCACCAACCGCCCCGGAAGCGCAAGGAGCCAGGCAGCCCUCCCCGCACAGCCCCCCACAACCCCUUUCACGCAACCCGGGGCNNNNNNNNNNNNNNNNNNNNNNNNNNNNNNNNNNNNNNNNNNNNNNNNNNNNNNNNNNNNNNNNNNNNNNNNNNNNNNNNNNNNNNNNNNNNNNNNNNNNNNNNNNNNNNNNNNNNNNNNNNNNNNNNNCUUCUCCCCCUUCCUACACCCCCUACGCCCCUUCCCUCUGGAUUUGGGGAGGGACCGACGCAUGAAGCUAGGUAGAUGGGUAGGUAAGGGCCGGUAAGUAGGCGCAUUUCGGUCGUGCCGUAGUGCUGUUACUGUUUCAUGAUGCACCCAAGGGGCACUGCCCUCCUUGCCCUCAGCCUACUCGGCACUUCGUGACUUGUGCCAUACUGUCGUACCUUUGCCGCGCUGGCCUCCGCCAGCUGGUUUUGUAUCAACAGUUGAUCUCUAGCCGCCUCCAAAUCCCUGGUCAACUGCUGCAUCAUCAGGGGCGCACCACGAGCCCCAGCGUUGACGUGUCCCGUACCGCUGGAGCCGCCGCCGCCGCCGCCGCCGGCUGUCGUACCCGUGCCUGGCCGAGACCGCGCCGGCGACGCUGUACGGUUUGUACUCGCGCCGGAGCUCAAACCCCCGCCCGGCGGUGAUCCUGCGCGAUCUGGCACCAGGCCCGUAUUCGGAAUGAUCCCCGGUGUGGGCCCGGGCGCCAGGGAGGAGCUCCUGAGGGGGGAUGUGUUGGAGUUGCGGCCGAAGGCGACGGGGGAGGAGCCGGGACGUGCGGGCCGGGUGGCGGCGCUGCCGCCGCCACCGCGAUCAGCCAUAACGGAGGAUCCGCCCAGCGCGGAGCGGGCGGACUGAAUCCUGCCGCCGCCGCCGCCGCCACCGCCGCCGCCGCCAGCUGCGGCGGUAGCAGCGGCAGCGGCGCCCAGUGCCAGCUGGCCGCUGGCGCUAACAGAGUGUUGCGUGUGGUACGUGGCGCUGGACAUUGGCCGCCCACCCGCGCCUAACGGUUGCAACCCCCCCGAUGCCGUUCCAGCGGCGGAUCGUGCGGUGACGGCGCCGCUGCCUAACUGAUUUUCAUGCUGGUGGGAUGGCCAGGUGUUCGUAACGCUGACGCUGAGCCCGGCGGCGCGGCCGCCGCCAGGGAAGGCUGCCAGCGAUGACAUCGUACUGCCGGCGCCGACGCCGGGGACACCGGCGGGCCGGAUGAAUUCCGUCACCUGCGGUGUGGACGCGCCGCCGUUGCCGCCAGGGAAGGCGGACGAUGGUCUACUGCCAGGUACGAGCAUCAAUGUACGAUUAGGCGGCGGCAGCGUCAUCGCGAGGUUCGACGGAGGGGGCGCAUAAAUGGGGCUGCCGUUUGGAUGUGUUGCUAAGGGUGGGGGGGACGGCGGAGUGGCCCAAGCCACCGGCGCCAUCGUUUCAUCCCCUCCGUCGCCCAGCGGCGGUGGCGGUGGCGGCGGCGGCAACCGCGGUGACCGCGGCGACUGCGGCGUCGUUCCAUCUUCCAACUCCAAAGGUUCCCCAGUCAAGUUCGCGGCACCGAGGCUGCCGCCUCCGUUGCCGUACGCGUUCGUCGCCCAUUCCGUACGGAGUACGGACUGUAGAUAAAUCUUGCCGCAGCUGUCGCGAAUCCACUCAACCACAAUUCCCGACAAUGUCAACCGGUGAGCCUUCUCAAUGUACUUCACAAGGUGUGACGUCAGCUUUCGAAAUUCCAAUUUUAGCGUGGCGUCGACGGCGCCCUGGCCCGUGACGGGGUCUGGCGUCUCGUCCAACGCCGCAGCGCUGGCGCCGUACGCGAAGGACGAGUCGUUGACAAAGGCGUCGUCGGCACCCGGCGGCAGCGUGGAGCCCUGCGCCACGUACCUCCGACUGUACUUCCGCUGAAAGGUGUGACAGGUGAUGUUGUUGGCGCCAGAUGCGACAUACGUGGUGACGUACCGCAGGUCGUUGUGGGGCUGCUCCGGGGAAGGGGAGGGGGGGAAAGGGUAAAACACAUGACACACAUAUUGACACGCGAGAGGAUUCCGGCCCAGGCGGGCCCCCACCCCGCCUCCAUCUGCAGCAAGCAGUCCAAGACGUCGACAAGCUCGGGGAGUGGGGGGUUGUCCGCUGGUCGGCUGGUCAGCUGCAUCACCGCCGCUGUGUCAUCACCAUCACUCAGCUGCCAGGCCCCUUUCACGGCGGAACAGCUGACCGUCAUCAGGUACGGCCGGGCCCCCCCCCUCACCCCGACUUCAUGAAAUCCCCAGACAGCCUGCGGGUUUCCCCUCCUCUCCUCCUUCCUCUCCCCCCCCCAAGACAAGGAAGCCCGCUGGGCCAUAGGGCCGCCCGGCGGGGUAAGGGGGAGAGGGGCCUCAAUGGCAGGUCCCCGACUCCCGCCUUUCUUCGCCACAGCGCCCCGACAGGCCCAACUCCCUAGGUGUCCUUCCCCACCUCACACCGCUCUCCCUGGAGCCCCGGAGCCCCCCCACAGGCCCAUGCGGGUGGCGGGGAACCUGCAUUGAGAAGAGCCUUGAAACGCACCUUUCCCCCCCACUCACGCUGUCCCGCCACCUCCCCAUCCCGUCGCCGUCCGCCCGUUCAUGCACACAUACAUACGUACUACAUACAUACAUAUGUGCAUACAUACCUGCACAAACGCUUGCAGCACCUGCAGCGAGUCCACCUCCGGAGCUGCCGCCAGGUUGCCCGCCUCCAGCCGGUCGGAUAACAUUUCCGUCAGCUGGUUGAAGGCCUGCAGCCGCAGCAGCUGGGGAUGGCCGUCACCUGGCGGGCGAGGGAGGGGAGGAGGGGGAGGUGAAGGGACUGAAAAUUGGACUUCUGUUGGGAGGGUGUAUUGGCACGUCGGAGUGAGAGUCACGCCGAGACCUGCGGUGGGCUGUGGGAGGCCGGUGGUGGUGGGGGAAGGGGGGAGGUGAAGGGACAAUUGCGCCCGGACAGGACGGGAGGGUGGGGGCUGAAGGAGUUGAGGGUAAAGGCUUACAGCGGCACAGCAAUCACUUAGACGAGGGGAGUGGGUUGGCAACGUGAAAAGGGAGAAAAGGGGAGCGGGUUCAGCGCGGGUUCUGCUAGGGAAGGGAAAGGUCUGGGGCUAUGUGUCUGGGUGUAUCGCAGCAUAAAAACUUUUGGUAGAGUUCAAAAGACACUGUACAAGGUGAUGAACCCCUCUGGACAUAUUGUAAAAGGAUUUGAGCUGUUUAGGGAGGGGCAGGCGUGACCUGGCGGGGUUGCCCGUAAAACCGAAUUGCCAUGCGCCAUGCGGCGAGCCGCGGUCUGAAACGACAAGUUCCCCUACCUGCCCGUACAACAACAACAUAUUUACUGUAGUUUGCCUCGUCGCACUCAGCGACCUGAAUAAAGCGUCUCCGAAUCGCCUCCAUCGUCGUGUUAUGGCUCGCGUGCCGUUGGAUAUAGCCCUCCUGCCCGAUAUGCCCAACCAAGAAAUAAUAUAGUGAUUACGAGAGGAAGAGAGGCUUUGGCAGUCGAAUUACCGCUCAGUAACAGUGCCAGUAUCCCCGCGUUGCUUACCUUGUUCGUUGCCCACCAAGCCGAUAGCUGCCCAUAUCGAAAAAGCACUGUGUCCGGAACGUUUAUCUUACAUUUCAGUCCCUUAUCCUGCGCGAGCAGCGCCGACGAACUUGUAGUGAGCAUCGGACAACGCUUUUCAGGCUGCUCUGCUCUCCUUGAGACGUACAUUCCAAAACAGCGCAAAGAAGGAGCACCAAUCAAAGUUCGUGUCCAUCGCCAUUAUGUUGCGGUAACUAAAACAUGCCUACAAAGCGCGUCGAAGGCGAACAGAAAGGACAGGGCCUUCGAAAAAGCUAUUACGCUAAGCCUAAACCGUUCCGAUGGCAUAAAUUACUUCGAAUCCAAAGCAGCGGGCUUUCCACCUGGCAGUGUGAGCAUGAAUCCAUCUGCUCCACUUCGAGGAACACGGACAGUAGUACACGCGGUACGGCAAGCUUGAUUUCCAUUCCAUAAAGCUAGGACUUCAGGGUUUCUCACUUGAAAUAAUUGCGCGACCUGUGCGUUCCAUGGGAAUGGCUUUCGGAUACGAUAAACCAUAGCACCAAGCAAAAUAGCUGGCGAGCGAAGGACAAGCCUCGCUAUCCGUCCGCAAAACGUUUCUGAUUGAGUAUUAAGCAAUGUUCAUUCAAACCGAAAGAUGCUCGUUUCGUCAGGCACAUGCAAUGCUUCCGGUGGCCUGGCGUGUAGCACCCGCGAAUACACAGCCAUUUUCCCCUCCGCAAGCUGCCUAAAGCAUCCGUACGUGCAGUUGGCAACAUGGUUCUCGGGUACCGCAGAAAUACCAUGUAACGGAACUAGUGGACAAUUGGAGAGCGAAAAGCAUAUGCUUCUGCAAUGUCAAAACACCCGACGCAUUGCCCUUCGUGGCGCGACUGGCUUAAGUCAGCACGGGAAUCUGAGGGAGGUAGUUCCGGGCCCAUGGAGCGGAACCUCGUCCAGGUUGCUGAAAUGAUGUUGAUGGCUUGCAUGCUGCCCCACUGUAUCUCAAUCACCCCUUUAAUGACCCUGGCUCCCUUAGUACGCCAAUAAUCGGGGGCCGGGAGGGAACCGCCCGCUCAGGUGCCACCUAAAUCUCUCCGAGCAGCCGCUUGAGCGUCUCCUCCUCUGGGCACAUCACAUUUGGAUCUAAAGGAGGACUUCACAGACACAUAUAGCAUUAUGGUUCUCCCACAGAUACAUUUGCAGGUGCAAGCACGACUAUGGCUACAGCUCUACUUACGAUCAGAAAUGCAGGCAGAGAUAAAAAAACUACCGUAAAACCACACCGCAUUUGUAUACAUGGCUAACAGCUUUAAACCUCGGUUUGGCUCGGCGGCCAGCCUACUAUAUCCUCAUUACAUCGCUGGUCGGGUUCUGAACGACAUCCACUUGUCGCACAUAAAUUGUGAGUUCCUAAAAAACGCCCACGCGCUUCAGCAAAUAUAUUUAAGCCAACAAAAGUGUUCUAAAAGUCUUUUGGAGAUUGCUGGGUGCGGGCGGUGAGGGUGCGCUGUUCCGUAUCCUUUUCAAUCUCUACGUACCCAACGCAAUCAUCCGCAAACACGCGAAGCAUGUCGUGGUGUCGCAAAGAAUCAUGAAACCUUAGAUACAGUAAACGCUGUGCGAAUUUACAAAGUGAUCACUGGCCAGCUUAAAUUUAGCCAAUAUCACAUAUCUAAGGCUGCCGUACAUGGCCGCUUGGUCUUGCAACAUUUGCGCGCCGGCUCAUCCGUAAUUCAUUCGUAGGCAUGCAGAGCUCAUAUAUCUGUAUAUGAUUGCUGUUGCAUUGUACGAAUCUCACGCGGCGCCUGUCCUUAGUGCCUAGUUACCCUGCCGGUAACGCUGACAAGAGUACUUGCGCCCGAGGCUUUUGCCUUCAUUUAGACUUAUAAGGGAGAUAUUUCACAUAACUGGCCUGCUUAAUAUGGAACGUAAUAAACCUAAGGCAUAGACAAUCGAAUACCGGCACAACAGUGCCUGACCAGCAAGCUCGCGAUUAAACUUCUCUGUUAACUUGCAUUUUGAUCUCAUUCUUAAACACAUUUGGUCAUGGGUGGAGCAGGUUCCACGGUACGCGACAGGGUAGCUCCGUCGGCAGGUGGUAUGACCUGUCCAUACUUUAAUGAUUAAUGUCCCCUAUGCAACAGGAGGCAGGCAAUGUCGUGCGCGUUCAGCCUACACCUCGUAACCAGGUGGUGAGUCCGUCUCUGCUCUCGCUCGCACUUGCCUGCCAUGCAUGACCUAUGCCAUAGAUGCCAUACCUGGAAACCUAAUCCAGACUUAGGUUUUUUCAUAUAUUGUCUACCUCAUUUUCUCCGUGGCGUACCUGCUGCACUGCUCUUUUGGACAUAACUUUCUGCUGGCAUGCGUCGUAAAUGUCGCCGCGGCAGGUGCCCACCAUGGAAGCUUCUCAGCCCACGCAGCCCAUGGAAGACUCGGCUAGCUUAAGACUACAACUGAAACAGGAGAGAGAGGAGCAUGCGAAGGCCUUGGAGGAGGCAGUGGCAGCGGACCGCAAACGGCUGGACGAGGCUGCAGCGGUGGAGCGGCGGCGAUUAGACACAGAUGCGGCUGCUGAGCGGAGCCGCCUGGAUGAAGAGGCAGCUUCACUUCGGGCUCGCUUGGAUGGAGAGGCCGCGGCAGAGCGGCGGCGGAUGGCAGAAGCGGCCGCGGAGGAGGCGGGGGCAGUUCGAAAGCGCCUGGACGAGGACGCUGCCGCGGCGAGGGCGCAGUUGGAUGAGGAGGCGGCAGCGGAUCGGAAACGCAAAGACGAGGAGGCGGCGGCGGAGCGCAAGCAGCUUGACGAGGCGGCUGCCAUGGUACGGAAGCAGCUCGAUGAUGAGGCGGCAGCGGAGCGCACGCGGCUAGAUGCAGAGGCCGUGGCUCGGAGGACGCAGCUUGACGAGGCGGCAGCAGAGGAGCGGCGGCGUCUGGAUGAGCGGGCCACAGCGGAGCGGCGGCAUCUGAACGACCUGGUAGGUGUGCUGCAGCCUCAGCUGGAGAACCUGAUGGCCCGGCUGGCGGCUGGAGGCCCGUCUGCUAGGGCGGCGCUUGCCGCUACAGCGCCCCAGAGCACUGGCAUGUUGAUCGGGCCAGUGCAGCCGUCUGCAGCAGCGGGUGCGGCUGCGGCUGCGGGGUUAUCGCCAGUGGCGUCCAUGCCGGCACCACUGCCAGCGGCGGCCGUGCUUGCUGAUAAUCUGGCGGAAAUGGGACCUCAGGCCACUACAGCUGCUGCUGCUGCUGCUACUGCUACUACUACCGUGUCGGACAAAGUGGCGGCGGCGGCGGCAGCGGCAAUGGAACAGGAGCAGCGGCAGCUUGAGGAGCAGGAGCGACGGCGGCUUCGGGAGGCAGAGGCUGUGAUGUUCGAGGCGCGGCGCCAGGCAGAUGAGGAGAUUGAGAAGAACUGGGGCCAGGAGGUGUGGUGGGAGGGUAUGGAGAGGUGUGGGAAUUUGGGUGCGGGGGAGCGCUAAGCGGCCAAAUAUCUGCUCCCUUUCCCCCUAGGCUAGGCCCAGCCCUGGAUCUUUUUCCGAAGGUUCAAACUUGUGUGUUUAUAAUACAUCUGAAUCCUUAGCAGGGCAGAGCAAACCGUUUCUGCAGCAUCCUGUAAGAAUUAAAGCUCAUUCCUUCCCACCCUUCUCCUUCCCCCUCUCCUUAUCCUCAUGCGCCUCCUCCCUCCUCGCCCCCAAGGACCUUCUGGCCUCCAUCCCCUCCACGGGUAUGCAACUGGAGCAGCUCCCCGCCAGCAUCCUCGACCUCCACGACGGAAUGCCCCCCCAACUCAGCAAGGCCCCCAUGCGGCUGCUCUCCCUGGACGUUGUCCUGACCUGGCCCAACAUCCGCGUCUACGAGGAAGUCGACGUCGCCACGGAAGCCCUGGAGGUGCCGUACGCUGACGUCGACGCCGACACCUGGAACACUACCAUCAUCCUCAGCUGGCGCUGGAGCGCCGUCAAACCCACCGAGUACACCCCGGGCUUUGCGCCCAUGUCCGAGGCGCAAUUCGCGGAGCUGACUGCCGCACUGCGCCGUGCACAGGACGGGGGCAUGCGGUAUGUGUGGAUAGACUGGAGCUGCGUGCCCCAGUACAAGUCCUCUCCCAUGGUGGAGGUGCUGCGCUCCAAGGUGUUUUACGCGCGCGCGCGUGCCAUGAUCGUAUUGCCGACGUUCGUUCGCAUCCCAGCCGACGGCGUGGUGCGGUUGCUGCUGACCAAAGCCAUGCGCGUCGUACGCAGCCGCGUCAUGACCUCGCCGCGAUGGGGCAUCCUGCUGAAGUUGCUGGAAAGCAUCCAGGCCAAGGAGACUGUCGCGGGUCGGGAGUACUUCACCCGUGUGUGGACGUUGGCGGAGCGCAUGGCGCGGUUUGGGCGGCCCGAGAGGUUGUGUCACUGGCUGUCGCUUGAGAGUUGGCUGGGCAUGGUGGUAGAUGCGAUGUUGCGGAGCACUGAGGACCGCAGUGCGAGUGAGAUGUACAAAAGGAUGUUGGGCGCCGAGGCGGGCCGGCGGCUGGAUGCGUUGCUAGACCCGCUGGAGGCCGCUGUCAAGACUGGCAGCAUGCACGUCUCAGAGGGGCUGGAGGAGCAACUGGCAGAGCUGUUCAAUUUGACGGUGGGAAUCUGGCACACUAACAAGGUAGGAGGGCAUUAGGGGA
This 57878-nucleotide long non-coding RNA is filed under the name Volvox carteri. RNAcentral describes it as "long non-coding RNA (VCAR_LNC000161)". Lineage: Eukaryota; Viridiplantae; Chlorophyta; Chlorophyceae; Chlamydomonadales; Volvocaceae. The record is from RNAcentral.